This 49957-nucleotide long non-coding RNA is filed under the name Zea mays. RNAcentral describes it as "long non-coding RNA (ZMAY_LNC003802)". The record is from RNAcentral. Lineage: Eukaryota; Viridiplantae; Streptophyta; Magnoliopsida; Poales; Poaceae.
CUGGAUCUCGCUCCCGGGAGGGACCCCGUCGGGAAGGAGAGAUCCUAGGUGGUGUCUAGGCUCGGGCCGGCCGACCUAGACUCCUCUAAUCGACGUAGAGCCGAAGAGAGACGAAGAAUUUGGGGAUUGGAUAGCUAAACCUAAACUAGACUAGAACUACUCCUAGGAUAAAAUGUAAAUUGUAUUGAUUGAAGGUUCGAUUCGUUGUUUUCAAAUCGGCCGUAGACCUCUCUAUUUAUAGAGGAGGAGGGCUAGACCCGUUACAAACAAAUUUCCGAGUGAAUCCCGCGAAUCUAGCUAACAACCGUAGCACAAAACUCGGAACCCUAAACUGCUCUGCGCACGCGCGGACCGUCCGGCCCCCAGGCGCGGACCGUCCGCCCUGCUCAAAAUGGGCUCCAACACUAGGUCGUAUACGCAGCUUGUUUUGGAAACAGCAGCUAUUGAGAUUCUCUCACUUCUUGUGCCUGCUGCUCAAAUAGUGUCCUCUUUGGUCCAAAUAAUAGCACAUGUACAAGCAAUACUUAUACAGUCAAAUAGUGGCUAAGGAAUGUCAGGUGGUUUGGGGCAAAGUUCUAGGCUGCCAACUUCUCCUUCAGGGGCUGCUGAAUCCUCAGGUCCCAACCAAGCGAACAGUGCUGCAAUUGGCAUCAAUGCCACUAACUUUGUUUCUAGGAGUGGUUACUCCUGCCAACAAUUGUCUGUUUUGAUGAUUCAAGCAUGUGGUCUUCUGCUGGCACAACUCCCACCAGAAUUCCACAUGCAACUAUACUCAGAAGCAGCUCGAGUCAUAAAAGACUGCUGGUGGCUUGCUGAUGGUUCCAGGCCUGUUAAAGAGCUUGACUCUGCUGUUGGCUAUGCACUGUUGGAACCUACAUGGGCUUCCCGAGACAAUACAUCAACAGCCAUAGGUAGUACAUUUUUCUUUAGUCUUGUGAGCUGGAUCAGAUCAGAGUUAACUUAAUGGGAAAUUAUAUUGCGUCCUUGUUAGCUAAAAUACCAUAUUGUAAUGUUUCAAAAAUAAUCACAAAAAUCAUGUAUGUAGUAGACCUAAAGUUAAGUGUAGCCGCAAUAAUUCAGUUUAAAAUUCAUCUUUGAUGUUGAGAUUAAAAAAACAGAAGUGUCACUGUCAACACAUGGUGAACAGUGUCAGGUUGACUGCUUGUCUAUUUUAUUUCUUGGCAUCUAGGAUGAAUUUCAAACUGAAUUGUUGUAGCUAUACUUUAUGUGUAUUACAUACAUGACUUUUAUGUUGACUUUUGGAACAUUGCAGCUUGGUGUUUUAGCUAUCAAUGGCGCCAAACCUGCACUCUAAGGCCCCGUUUGGUUUGGGCUAACUAAAGUUUAGUGACUAAAGUUUAGUCACUUUUAGUCACUAAAGAAGCAAACAUAAUGACUAAAGUGGGGUGACUAAACUUUAGUUCUUUAGUCACCAAAUGGGUGACUAAAAGGGACUAAAUUAAUAUUUUUACCAUAUUUGCCCUCUACACUUUCUUCUUAUAGCAAACAUCCAUUAAUUAAUAGGGGUAAAACAGUCAUUAUUCACAGCAAUUAAUGCUCUUUAGUCCGGUUUAGUCACUGGAACCAAACGGGUUACUUUAGCGACUAAACUUUAGUCACUAAAAUUUAGUUUAGUGACUAAAGGAACCAAACAUGGCCUAACUUAAUAUGCUAGUGCCUCACUUAUGUCUUAUGUCGUUUGUGCUUUGGUUGCAGUAACAUUGUUGCCCUUCUGCAUUCCUUUUUUAGCAAUCUUCUACAAGAGUGGCUGGAAUCUACUUUUACUGUCAUCAAACACCUUCGGCCAGUCAAUUCAAUUGUCAUUAUUGCAUUCAUAAUAGUAUAGAACUUUGUAUUAUUUUAUUUUCCUCAUCAUGUGAACCUAUGCUGAUAUUGCAUUUUAUUUAGUUAAGAACAUUACCUUUUGUGCUCACCAUCCAACUAAAAUAAUUCCUCUACUGCUCUUUUCCCCCAUUGAAAGACCAUUAUUUUAUAUUAGUAUGUCAUUCACCUUCAUUUAGCUUAUGUUAUUUUUUAAUUACCAAUAAUCAAAUUCAUUGUACAACAGUCUAUCAUCAUAUGAAUUAGUUUGAAUUUAAUUCUCUAACGUAUAAAUUAGUUUGAAUUGAAUUAUUUUGCAAUUGAAUAUGGAGUAAAACUCGUUAUAAGUAAUUUUAGCAGCAAAUUUGUUCUCUAGGUGUUCUCCAUUUGAACCUAUGGUUUACCAUAAAUCAUGCAGUCCAUAGAGCUAUAAUGAAAAGAGAUGCAAUAGAUGCUGAACAUUAGAGUUGCAGUGAAAGAAGGUGCUAAUUUUCAGUGGUUACCUGAACACCACUGGACCGAGCAGCACGUUGAGAGGCUUUGUAGUCAUCCUCGCUCUCCGUCAUGCGCGCAGUCCUCGUCUUCCUUGGAGUCGUGGUAGGGAUAUCCUGACAAAGAUAGCGCUUACUGAGCAAUACUGACGAACGUAGGUGUUAGGGAGGGACAUCGGAGGAGUUACCAGACCUACCGACGCGUCGCGGUCGUCCACGCUCUCUGGGAACUACUCCGGCUCUGGCACACAUGCGUGCUCGAGCUCGUACACAGAGGAGAAGGCGUGAUGCCUCAAACAUGCUCACUAUUUAUCUUCAUCGACUGUGUGUUGUCCCAGGCGAAGUGGAAGUCGUGCAGAUUUAGUGGAACUGGACGGUUGCUCUGAUUGUGUCGUGGAAGUAGUGCGCGGGAGUGGGGGGAAUCCGCUAACUAGGGGAAAUGCGGUCGUGGGAGAGCAGUUGCUCCGAUUGUGAGUGGAUCUGCGGUACGGGGUGGUUGGGUGGGCAGUGAAGGCCGCCGAGCUAGGGAAGGAGCUGUGGAAGCCGUCAGCUAGGGAGAGAGGUGGUGGAGGCCGCUGGCCGGGGAUGGGGUUGUGGAAGCCGCCAGCUAGGGGGAGAGGCGGAGGAGGGCGCCGACCGGAGGAGGAGGCCGCCGUCGGUGGAGGUCUGGAGGAGGUUGUGUUCUGUCCUUACUGGAGAACGAAGACCGUGGCUCAGGAGAGAAAUCCUAGGGUUAAUAAGUGGUUGUUUGCUGAACACCCUAAAAGAACAAAAAACGCGAGAUUGUAUGUAAUCCAGCAUGAGUCAAGUUGGCUAGAGGGUGGGAGGCUAAACAUUCUGCUCGAGACAUCCAGGGUUCGAUCCCUGAUCCACAGUAGGAUUUUUUUUACUGCGGACAGUAAAGGGAACAUGGGAGGGCAGAACAGAGUGGCAGCCUACCCUCUACAUUCUACAUAGUAGUAGAGAUUAUAUAUAUAGGUCUAUUGAUCCAUACCUAUUUCUAUGCGUUCCCAAUGGCCGGACCGUCCAGCCUUCCUAGAUGUCACAUAUGGUGCUCAACAGAAGUUAUCAUGUUUUUGUUGUCUUUAUCCGAUUGCAUAUAUGGAAGGUUAUACGGGAGAAUAGAUCUAUGCAGUUUAUGUCAACAUGCUUCGUGCAUGACACAUGAUAGUAAAAACUUAUGUUUCAAAGGAGUAGAAAUUAGAUGGUUCUUAAGUAGUACCUCCGUUCUCGAAUAUUUAUCGUCCGCUAGUUUAUUUUUAAACAAAAAUGUGACAAAUAUAAAAACGGAGAGAGUAUAUUUUAAUAUGCACUUUAUCUCAAUUUAAAAUCACCAAUCUUUAAUUACCUUGUCAUAACUGUUGAGUACCAAAAUGAGGACCGGACGCUCCGCGCGUGCGCAGAACGGAUUAGGGUUCCGAGUUUUGUGCUACGGUUGUUAGCUAAAUUCGCGGAAUUAGCUAGGGAGAUUAGUUUGUAAAGGGUCCAGCCCCCCUUGUCUAUAAAUACAGGUAUACGACCGAUUUGUAAUCAUCAAUCGAAUCAAUAACACUUUUAUCUCGCAUUUAUUUCAUGUACAAUUAGGAGUAGUUCUAGUCUAGUUCUAGUUUAGCCUCUCAAUCCCCAAAUUCACCACUUCUCUUUGAAUCUACGUCGAUUAGAGGAGUCUAUGUCGGUCUACCCGAGCCUAGACAUCACCUAGGAUCUCUCCUCCCCGACGGGGUCCCUCCCGGGAGCAAGAUCCAGGCGCCGCCGACAACCUUCGCCGCCCCCUGCGCACGUGCGGACCGUCCGGCCCCAGGGCGCGGACCGUCCGGCCGUCAGGCAGGAAAACCCUAGCCCUGCGCCAGGUCGUGGACCGUCCGGCCCCUGGCCGCGGACCGUCCGCCCCUGUGCAGAGAGCACCGCCGCGGGUUCUUGUGUAGUGAUUGGUGCCUCAAAAAGGCACCAACACACUUUUUGGCGACUCCACUGGGGACGAUUUCGUACAGAUAUAUCGAGAUCGGCCCCCAAUGGCCAGUUCAAAGGAUAGCUCUGAAGUUUCCACCAGCAAUAUCAUCAAGCUGACAUGGGAAACCUUGUCGGCUGAAGAACAACUCCUAUUCGAGGAGCGUCAGGAGCAGCUGAUCCAGGAAGCAAAGGCGAAAUUUCUGGCCGACUUCAAGGUGGACAGGAACAACAAAGUCGUUCGACAACGGGCGACAGAUCUGGCUUCGCUCCGACCUACUACGAAUACCCCCAAUGUAAGUAGCACCAAUGAACUCCAAUCUCUUAAAGCUUACAUAGACGAACAGCGAGAGCAGAUGCAACGUAUCGUAGGGGAUAUACAAAAUGAUCAUAAAAGGCUAGUGUGUGCUCUUGAUAAGUCUACUAUUGCAAAUCUUCCUUCGCACGAGGUUGAACUAAGGGAAUACACACGUAAUUCAUCGGCUACAGGUUGUCACGACCAAUCACAAUCCCUUUAUGGGAUGCCGAUAGACAUGUACCUUGGGCAACAACAGCCUCCCACGCACAUCGGCGAUAAAUUUGUCGAUCUGCGCAUGUCCGGACCGUCCGCACUUGAGCGCGGACCGUCCGGGCCAGCGCGCGGUCGAGCCCAUUUUUAGAAGCGAAUUACCGAGUCCUGCACCCAAGCCGCCACAUACCGUGCAAACCCUAGAUAACCCAUUCAGACCAUCCGCGUAUGAUGCCAGACAAUCCGAAUAUAAUGUUGGACGGUCCGCGUAUUUAACCGGACGGUCUGGCACAGAGUUUUUUGAGAAUGAUGGAUAUCCAACUCCGUAUCCGUCCCAGCUAGACUCCCCAUCUCACCAUACGACACACCAGCACCAUAAUAUGAUUUACCAAACCCAUGAGGGUGAGUACUUUCCGGGCUCCAAAAGGCCAGAAAGGAAUGGCCAGUCCUAUGAGCCUCAUAGGGCAUGUAUUAACGCGUCGCAAAACCCAAACCAAUGGGGAGGAAAACAACAUACCAACAUCCAAACAAACUCACCCAUAUUGGACCAAAGAGUCGGUGAUCUCCCACCAGUUGCCAUUGAUAUAGUAAGAGAGGAAAUAGAUGGGGCGUUCCGAGAUAAGCUCGGAGUUAGUAUAGUCCCCGGGGGGCAUUCAUAUCGGAGACCUUACAAUAGCCAGUUUGACCAUCUCCCAUACCCACAGGGGACCAGAAUACCCAAAUUCGCAAAGUUUUCGGGUGACCAAGGAAAGAGCACGCGAGAGCACAUAGACCAAUUCUUAGCACAGUUAGGAGAAUUGGCCGACACCGAAGCAUUCCGUGUACGUUUAUUUUCAUUAUCUUUAACAGGGACUGCAUUCACAUGAUAUGCCACGCUCCCUCCUAAUUCCAUUUUGUCAUGGGGAGACUUAGAACAAAAAUUUCAUAAACAUUUCUUCUCUGGCGAUUACGAGCAAGAUUUAGUAGACUUAGUGGCUCUACGACAAGAAAAGGAUGAAUCGGUUAGUGAUUACAUCCGGAGAUUCCGGGAUACGAGAAACCGAUGCUUUCAAAUUCAUUUAACAGAUAAACAACUGGCGGGAAUAGCCUUUGAUGGAUUGCGCUAUUAUUUAAAAGAGAAAUUAGAAGGCAUCCAGUUCUUUAUGCUAGCACAAUUACAUCAGAAAGCUUUGGCUUGUGAAAGCCGAAGCAAAGAACUAGUUAAAAUGGUUCAUCAUAGUGUCCAUAUAGUAGAACACAAUCAAAGUAGUUCGGACGAUGAACCAAAGGAAGUUUACACUGCCGAAAUAGUUUGACCCGAGCAGGCCAAAUCUUCGGCUUGCUCCUCCUUGCAGUCAGUUCAAAAGAAACGACAUGAGGAGGUUAAGUUUACAUUUAAUGUCGGCAAAUGUGAUAAGAUAUUCGAUGAAUUACUAAAAAUGGUAACAUUAAGAUCGAUUAUAUCGUUCCACCCGCCGACGAACUAAAGCGUCGCGCAUAUUGCAAGUGGCACAACUCAUUUUCCCAUGCCACUAAUGUUGUAAUGUGUUUCGACGACAAAUCCAAUCGGCCAUUAACGAUGGACGAUUGGAAUUUCAGGAGGACACGGAGCCCUUCCCAAUGAAUGUGAUCGACUUCAAGAGAAAAAAGAUCAUAAUUCGGCCCAACAUAGCCGAUAAGGGCAAAGACAAAGAAGUCAUCAUCGGCAACGCAUGGGAGACGGAUGGAAACAACAAAAUCUCUUGCAGAAAAGUGGUGGCCGAGAAGACUCAUAAUGGAGGGGAGACACUGAAGGUGACCAUCACAACCGCCGGCACUGGAGGGCAAGCGCAGACAAGGGGACAUGCGCGAGAACCCAUACUACGCAUCGUGGACAGUCUGGUGCCCAGGCGCGGACGGUCCGUAACAUCACCGGACGGUCCGGAGCGUUCUAGCGAAUGGUCCGACAACGACAAGGAGCCACAACGACCACGUACCUUCAAACCACGACGACCAGAAAUAGGUACGUGGAAAACUAACACGUUCAAGGCCGCUGGUCAGUUGGUAAAAAUCAGCCCGACCUUUGAUCAAUUAUUGUCUAAAUACGUGAAAAAGAAGGCCAGCCCCAGUGAUCGGCCACCAAAGAGGUCUCACUUACCCACCCAGGAGCAACAACAGGUUAGGCCGAUUGGACCACCUCACCAAUCGGAAAGGACGGGAGGUCAUAAUGUCCAACUAAGACCUAACGUACACGCAUGGACACCUCCACUCCCAUACACACCUAUGUCAUAUCAUUAUACAUACAUACCACCACCACCAUAUAUCCCGAAUCAGAUGUGGGGUAUGCCACCAUAUCCUUUUGGGGCACCACAAUACUCCGCUUGGGGGGCACCCUAGUCAUCUGUCUUUGCUAGGUUGACGCCUCCAGUACAAGAUCGAUUGAGAGCCCCUCAAUCUAGUCCACGAGCACAGGCCCAGCAAGAUUGCCGAACCACUCGACGCCAAAGGCUGACUAAUCCAGUAGGGGGUAUAUAGCUACGGCCUCCAACAGUACGAUAAAAGGGGAUGUCAUUGAAAUAGGAACAACAGAUGUCAUCGUACAACAAAAUAACGAAGGGCCGAUGAUUUCUGGUAAAUCGGCCAACACAAACAAAAAAGAAGAUACGACUGUCAACAAAACGGCCGAUUCAAAAUACUCCAUGCCCCGAUGGUGCCCAUCGGGAUUGACGCGACCGCAAAAGCGAAAAUUACAGCGUCUAAGAGCAAAGGAGAACCAGGAAAAGGAGGCGGAAAAAUAUUCAAUGACACGCAUCCGCAGUAUCCGCCACCACAAAAGAGAUGGAGACCAAAGGCCGUUGAGGAAAAUCAAACAACCACAAAGAUAAAAAAUAUAACAACAACUGUGCAGCUCUUUGCAGGUAUGGCAGACAGUCCAGCUAUAAAUACCGGACCAACCGUACAGGGCGUGGACCAUACAACCCCUGAGUCCGGACCGUCCACACUACACCAGGACACCUCCAACGAUGUACCGACACCCAUGGAGAAAGACGACCUACAAGGAGAAGACCUGGUUGACUACGGAGCUACGCCAGAGCACUCAGAAAAUUAGGAAAGCAAGAUGAUGAAUUGGUCAAGACCAGUACGACACUCGGCGAUAUUGGGAUUGACAGUCCGAUCAAAGCUAAACGGGUCACGUCCGUUGAGUUAACCAUCGGGACCAAGACCCUUGUAUACUAUCCUAGUAGGUGGCAAGAUGUCUAAGAAAACCUAUGUGAUCACAUCGGGUUAGUUGCUUUUGGUUCGCUCAGCUCCACAAAAAGGCAGGGGGCAUAUGUUGAGUACCAAAAUGAGGAUCGGACGGUCUGCGGUCCGGACGGUCCGCGCGUGCGCAGAACAGAUUAGGGUUCCGAGUUUUGUGCUAUGGUUGUUAGCUAAAUUCGCGGAAUUAGCUCGGGAGAUUAGUUUGUAAAAGGUCCAGUCCCCUCUAUAAAUACAGAGGUACACGACAGAUUUGUAAUCAUCAAUCGAAUCAAUAACACUUUUAUCUCGCAUUUAUUUUCUGUACAAUUAGGAGUAGUUCUAGUUUAGCCUCUCAAUCCCCAAAUUCAUCGCUUCUCUUCGACUCUACAUCGAUUAGAUGAGUCUAGGUCGGUCUACCCGAGCCUACACAUUACCUAGGAUCUCUCCUCUCCGAUGCGGUCCCUCCCGGGAGCGAGAUCCAGGCGCCGCCGGUGACCUUCGCCGCCCCCUACGCACGCGCGGACCGUUCGACGACCUUCGCCGCCCCCUACGCACGCGCGGACCGUCCGGCCGUCAGGCAGGAAAACCCUAGCCCUGCGCUAGGUCGCGGACCGUCCGGCCCCUGCCAGCGGACCGUCCGCCCUUGUGCAGAGAGCACCGCCGCGGGUUCUUGUGUAGUGAUUGACGCCCAAAAAGACACCAACAAUAACUCACAAAAACCCACAUGAGAUCUAGCGUCACUUUUAUUUCUAAACGAUCAACUAAAAAAUAGGCCUAAACGCACUUUCCAUAAGUCUAAUAUCAAGGCCACAUCCCACAUGCCCGAUGCCCCUUAAAAAUUACAAAGUUAGCCGACCUAAUCAGUGUAUCUGGUGAGAUCAAACCAUUAUAUUUUAAUCCGAAACGUCCGACGGUGACCUUAAGUUUUGACCCAAAAUUUGAAUUUUUUUUGGACAAACAUAAUAAGGAUGUGCAAAACGUCGAGUGAACAUGAGGUUCAUAUCGAAUUGAAGCAAACACAGUUUAUUUCGUUUACGCACACUUGAGAAUCCAGGUCAUCUGUCUAAGUCCUUGCAAAUACAUCAUUUUUUUCUAUGUUUUUUUGAAAAUAAACUGACUGAUAUAAAAAUCCGUACAUUAGUGGGCCGUAACCUCCAGCAGCUACCCUGCGACGUGCGGAUUUUCGCCCCAGGCACACUCUGUUUUCUGUACUCUGUUCUCUCCCUUGUCCCCAUGCAUACAGCAUACUUCAGCCUCUCUCUCGGUUCUCCCGGGCCCCUCGCGUGCGCUCUGUCUCUGUCGCCGUCGCCGUCGCCGCCGCCGCCAACCUACGCCAAGUGCCCAGAUCUCCACCCUCGGGACCUUCGCCGGCAGCGAACACCCACCACCAGGUACGCCCAUCCCUUUUCCGUUCCUGCCGUGCGAAACAGUGUACUACUACACCCAAACUUUCUGCAUUCGGAUCUGACUAGAAAAAACCUAGGGCGCCGCGUUGCCGCGCCGUCUUUGAGCAAGUCAGUGAUUAUAUAAGUCCCUUUAUUCAUGGGCUCUGGAGAACCUGCAAUUACCCAAGAACGUUGUAGACUUGUAGCACCUGGAAUAUUAAGAGGAAAUGGAAAAUUAAAAGAGCCACAUGUUAAAUAAUCAUUUUAAAACCCUUGGAUUUAAGAACUCACUAGCAUUUUCUAUUUUUCCUAUGGCCCAAGUGUUAGUAUUUUGAGAUUGAAGGGGAAAAGAAAAGAAGUGGUCAUGGAGUGGACCUAGAGAUCAUAUAUAGUUGUACCGGAGGCACAACCUCAACCACCAUAGUUUUGUCUGUACGAAUAUGCUUUCUCUUGCAGAGGACAAAGACAAAAAAAUCAUUGAACAUGAAUCUUAGUAGGUUUAGACAAAAACAGUAGAUUUAGUGGGAAGGGAGCAUACAGACAAUUCCUCUAGUAGAAAACAUAAAAAGGAACUCUGAUUACCAUACCACAUCAGAAAGUUAGUGCAUGAAAAUGAGUUACCUUGUUAUGAUGGGUAGUGAACUGAGAUUGAUGAAUUUUAAUAAGCUAGGUUAAAGGACUUGAGCAGAGGAGAAACUAUUAGUAAAAAAAACGAUAUAAUCUUAUAUUUUUGAGACAUUAAAGCUGUUUUACUUUUAUCUGGUUUCAAAUACUGCAAUACCUGCAAGGAACAGCUACCUUUUUCUGUUUCAAUCCACUCGUGCACCAAUGAUGUAUAUGUUUGACAAUUAGCUGACAUAACAGAUUUUUGUUUUUUCACAAUCAAUCUGAAAAACAUUACUAAGAUGAAGUGACGUAUCGUUGACUUUGUCUGAUAAGCUGAAAACCUACACGAAGCUCUAGGCGGAGAUACAUGACUAACAUCUCUAUAACGUGAAUAUCAUGAAUAACCUUCCUAGAACGUGAAAACUCAUCACAGUUACUAAACAUCUUUGUCUAUUCAGCUCUAACCAUUUGAGUUUGUUUCAUGCUAAACUUAUCUUCAAUCACGAGUCAUGAUCAACUUAUUUAAAGUUUAAAGGCCCAUAACAGUUAUUGCAUAUACCAAUUUAGUUCUGACCGAUUCUUAUGACCUAUUAUUUUACAUAUCAGUGCCAGUUUGUCGAACCGCCGCCGCCUGGGUUGCUUGACGGUGCACCAAUUUUGUUUAUAUAGAAGAGCAAAAGGCUCACACUUUUAGGUGUAAGGCCCCUGAAAGGGUAAAUUAAGAAAAAACAUAGAAAAAGCGGAUUUCUAUACAAGUGUAGAACUAUGUACAUAGAGGUGGCCCCUGAGCAACAUAUGGGCCUGUUUGUUUCAGCUUUUUUCUGACGAUCUUUUCUGAGAAUCUACCUGUGGGAAGAAUUUGGCUAUGGGGAGAAUGAGAGUAUCAUGGAGAUUACGUGCGGAGGAAGAUGAAAGAGUCCAUAUGGUUUAGGAUCUAUAAAGUGACGGAUCGCGACGACUCAGCCAAUUUUAUGUUCAUGUUGAUUUCGGACAGUUUUCACCAAAGCGAUUCUCACAAAAGCGGACUGAAAAGUUGGGCAGUCUGCGACUGCUUCUGGCGGCCAGAAGCUGAAAAAAGCUGCAACAAAUAGGCUCUAUAUAGGGAGGAAGAGAGAGAGAGAGAUAGAUAGAGAGAGAGAGGGAGGCCUUUCGUGGAUGGGGGAUUACCAUUUUUAGUGGCCAGCCGCACGCGACCCAUUUGAUAGACCUCGAUCACUCGGUAGGGACCUUCCUAGGGGGGGGGGGUAGUUUGUUCGUCCCCACCCGAUUAAGGAUGCACCAGAGCAAGAGAUCCUCUGCGACGAGUGAUUGGACUUUCACAUGGCGCAGGUGGUAAUGUCAUAGGGCCUGUUAGUAAUCCAUUACUCGGUAGAUGGCUUGGCAUCGUCGCUCUUCGAGGAGAUUUAGUUCUCCUAGCCGGAGCUGACCCUACAAGUUACCUUAAGGAAACUUGUAAAAUUUCACUUGUUGAGGGCCGCAUGAACAACAUACUUAGCUAUUCCCUUUCAGCUUUUCUCCUGAAUUCUUUUCGAGGUCUCAGGAGACGAAAUAAUUGGCAUUUUUACCACUGAAUUCAUUGCCUUUUUGCUAUAGUGCCCUCAGUACCUAUGAUUUGUAGGUCCACCUCUGUCUAUGAUUUGUAGGCCUGACAACAAAUUAUCAAAGCCCAUUGUUAAUAAUGGCAAAUUAGGAGUUGAGACAACAAAGGCUUGAAGCUACAGCUGGGGCAAAGGGCCUGUGCACUCUGGCUGCCUCUCCAGCUACUCCCUAGGGUGGUUCGCUAGUUUUUUGUAUGAUGAAUGUUUUCUUGUAUGCCUACUGAUGUAUGGUCUACUUUAGACCUUUUUCUCUAUCUUUUUAAUAUAUAAAGGGACACAAUUCUCCUACGAGUUUUCGAGAAAAAAAUAAUGGCAAAUUAGCAAGUCGUCCCUAGGAGACAACAUAGGAGGGGCGGUGUGACAACCAACAAACCCUGAUUAAGUGGUGGCUUAGAUGGGAGGACAUACCAAGCUGAGGAAACAACGAUCUACCAUGGCAGAACUGGUACUAACCAUGGCUUAGCCGCUCCUGGGAUACUGCCUCCAGGCCUCGUUGCUAAUUGCCAUACCACUCAACAUAGGUGUCAGCUGCUAGAGACAGCCCCAACCUGGCCUGUGUGGAGGCACAUCAACUCGGCGACUUUAUGUUUCUCCCCCAUAGUAGAUCCUACGGAGCAUACAAAAAAAGGCAGUAAGGAGAUGCAUGGUACACGCUUAUUUGCAUAUGGUUCUUCAUCAACGUCGAUAACUUCGGCAACCUUACGUUUCUUCCCCAUAGAUCCUACAGAGGAGAGGCACGGAUCCUACAGAGCAUACAUUUCUGACUUUUUUUGGUAUGCUUCAUAGGAUCUACUAUCGGGAAGAAACUUAAGGCCGCCAAAGUUAUCGACGUUCCUUUUUGCUAUCAUAUUUGCGUUUAACUGAUUUUUUUGGUUCCUAGGGUGCUCCAUGAUUCGAAUCCCACCGGCAGAACUUUUUUUAAAAGGGGAAAAACUCUGGCCUCUGCAUUCCCACCAACAGAAAGUGUUGGCCUGGCCAUUGACACACGCCAUCCGGGCGUGAGACUCGCCACUACCAUCAUCAUUUAGAAGCAUCAUCUCCACACCUAGUGUCCUCAAUCCGAGGUACCUCCUCCCAGAGUCUCCAAAGGCAGGUGCAUCUACCUCUGCCUCUGCUUCUGACUCCUGGCAUUGGAGCAAAAGAAAUGGUUCACUAUCAGGCUGGUAGCCACAUAACAACAUUUAUUUAACAAUAUUGGUAAUUUCUCCCAUGGGCAUUAAUUCUAUCACAUCAAUAGCAGCUUGUAGUUCAGCCACCAUUUUGUUCAACUGCUUGAUACUUCCUGUUGCUUCAGUUCAAAUCCUAGGUUUUGACCUAAAUUGCAACGAGGUGCUAUAAAUUAAGAAAAAAUAAAAAAAUCUAGAAUCUUCACAUUCUCUCUAUGUUUAUGUAAGAGAUCAUCUGUACAAAAUUUGAGUUAAUUUGGAGGAGGUCAAAAAAAUCACUUGCUUACAAAAAUUGGUUAAGUGAAAUACCAAAUGUUUUGUCCCUAAACAAGUGAUAUUUUCGACCAUCUCCAAUUUAACUCCAAUUUUGUACACAUGAUCUCAAAUUUUGUACUCAAAUUUUGUACACAUGAUCCUAGCUACCUAGAAGAAAUUCCACCAAUGCGGCGCAUGCGUGAGGGCGUCUAGGUCAGAGGCAAGGUAGUGGAGGAGUUCCGAAAUUCCUGGAUCAUCUCCACUGUGCACUGAAGGCCCUGAACCUCCCUGUUGGUGUGUCCAAGAACGUCCACCUCGAGGUUGCCCUUGCCGCAUAGCGCCUAGAUAGCCCCAACGAGAUUGAGAGCUCGGUCGAUCGAGCGACCAAGAAUGAUGGCGGCUUUAGAGUUGGUCCAUGUGAGUAGGCGUAUGGAGCUUGAGAGAAAGCGUUGUGCUGGUGACGUUGGGAAUCAUGCCACCUUGUGCGAUGGUGACGCCAGCGAGAAGCUUGUCGAGCUCUGGGUCAUUCCGGACGAUGAGCAACAGGUGACGAGGGACGAUGCGACUCUUGUUGUCCUCGACACAUAAUUUUAAAUGAAAUGACCACAAAUUUACACGUCAAUGUUUUCCCCAACAAUUUGCAUAUUGUUGCGCGAAACAAAAUGCAUGUUGGUACCAACUCUCCCAAGGUUUCAUCGAGCCGGACGUUGUCGCGGUAGCAACGACAGAUGCCGAGACGAACACGUGACACCAGGGCCACACCAGUUUAGGGUAUGCGAAGUCGAGGCGAACGUUGUCUCGGUAGUGACGAUGGACACCGAGACGAGCACGUGACACCAUAUGAAGGGCAUCACCUGGUUCUACUAGCCAUUUUCAGUUUAGAUUGUUCCCAACUUUCAUUGCAUCGCCUGCUUCUAUCACCGGCGCUUGCCGUCGGAGAUUACCCAAGGAGUGUGGUAAUUUCUUUCCCGAGCGGUGAGCGCCGACUUCAUCAGUGAGGUUCUGGAUGGCUCGCCCCAAUCCACAGCGCCAGGCCACGGCCCCGACGACGAGAGGAAGAACUCGCGCUUCCAGUCCUUGAGAGAAACGGGUUCCGGGUUCGGCAUCCCCGUGAAGCGCAGGCCAGAGUCGUACCUGGGCCAGAAACAGUACCAGCUUUUUCUAUACCUGUGGGUGACGAUGGUCAGCAGGAAGAAAUGCUAGAACACCGAGAGUGACGGCGACACACCGAUAGAGUGGCAGAGCACGAGGAAGCACGCCAUGAAGCGGCCUCGCGCCUCACGGAAGAAAGGGUGCAACGGCACGCGCAUCCCGACCUCCAACGUGUGUGUGUACACGCAGAUAGCCUCGAUGAUAAGUGCCAACCAGUCUCGGUAGGUUGUUCUUCCUCUAGGUUUCUCCAUUCCAAAGGAGGGUACAAUGUUACAUUUUGACCAACUCGGUACACACAUACUAUUGGCGAAAUUAACUGAAAUCAAAGCAACAUAACAACCACAUAAAGUAGAGGAAUAUUAAUACUUUGUUACUCCAUAUUUGGUUAAUGUUUUGUCAUACUUAUAGAAAGGACACCACACUCAUUUCAUCAAGCUUAACCACUGUCAGGCAUAACCAAGUAGUAGCCCCAAAAUAUAAGUUUUGUCUAUCACUCUUACAUGAGACGAUGAGAGCACUUGAUACUAAAGCCAACUGGUUAGACAUGCUUUCGCGAGCACAUUGCAGAGACGAUUGCAAAAUGGUCAUAAGUUCCAUGGAGAUCUCCAGAUAUUCCAUGGUGAUAUCAUGUCAAUCAUAGUUAUUAAGGCGUUAAGAGCAUCUCCAAUAGUUAUGUAAAUUUAGCACCCUAAAUUAUAAAUUUAAGAAGUUGCUAAAACAUUUUAAGGAGUAGAAAAAUGUAUGUGCUCUAACAGUUCCCUAUUUAUUGGUUGCUAAUUUUUAAAGUAGUCUACGUCAACAAAAAAUAAGUGAGCAUGCUUUCUAUUUUUAAUUGAGCUGUCGGCAGAAAUCAAUAUCACAAGUUUUCCUGACAUCUUGAGAGGUCGAAGUUAUUGAUGAAAGACCUUCACGGCGAUGGCGUGAAGACAUCACAUGAUGUGGUCUGACGAUGCCUCGACAUAAGAGGUUGUCUAGCAGUGGCGGCAUCAAGACAUCUGGGCGCUGGAGAUGAAUUUGUGGUUAACAGGACAAUGGGACAGCGUAAAACAAUGGCAAAAGUACGAUUUUCACGAUUGAUUUAGUACCAACGUAGAUUUAGAGUCACAACAAGGUUGAUAAAUGUAGGGAUAAAAUUGGGUUUUGUAGGAAGUUUGUAAAUUUAGGGAACUAAUUUACAUAACUGUUGGAGAAGAGUUUUUCUUGAAAACUUGUUAAAUUCGUAUUUAGUAACUUGUUUACGUAACUAUUGGAGAUGCUCUAAGGCAACAUAAGGCGACCGACCCCCUUUUUAUCUUUUAGGCGGUAAAGCGUAAGGCGAGGCGACGCCUUAAUAAUAUAUAUAAAUAUAUAAAUUAUACCACACACACACACACAAAUAUAUAUAUAUAUAUAUAUAUAUUACUAAUUUAAAGUUAAUGAGCAAGUUAACAUAUUAGGUCCAUUUCAGUCUAGUUAGAAGAGGGAAACAGGAAAAAAGCCCAUCAGCCGAACACAGCCCAACAUCCUAACCCUAAAACAGCCCCAGCUGCUCUCUCUCCCUCCCCCACGCCGCCUCUCUCACUCCAUCCCCACGCCGCCGCUCUCCUCUCUCUCCAUCCCCACGCCGCCAGCUUCUCCCUCUCCCCCGGCGCUGCUGCUCUCCUCUCUCCCUCUCUCCUGCGGGCCGCCGCCGCGAGCGCCCUGCACGCCGCCGCCGUGCCUCGCCUUGCUCUCGGCCAAGGCGAGAGGACGCCUUACGGGUCCAAGCACGCCUUACUGCUUAGGCGUCGCUAAAGCGUCGCCUUAAUAACCAUGAUGUCAUUUUUUUCCAAUAUGCUCCAUGUCGAACUGCAAUUCAAGUAAAUACAAAUUUAGUUUCUCAUGAUAAAUAAUAUAGCAACCGACAUAACAGAUGAUUAAAGUACAUCUUUGAGUGUGUUCAUGUCUUUCCCAUCAUAACUCCCCAGCAUCUCCAGCACAUAAAAAUCAGAAGCGACCUCCAUAACUCUGGAAGUGAACUAGUUAGUUGUUAAUAAACAAAAAUAGGAUUUAUCAAUAGGCAAAGGAGAAAGUUAACUGAACUCACUUAAUUUUUUCCGAUUUGAAUAUGUGAGGGGGAUAUUUUACUGAAAACUCCUUGCUGUUUUCAACUUCUCGUAGCUGUAGUGCUCCACAAAGGUUUCUAGCCUGAACAAAAUGCAUCAUGGGCCCAAUGUUGGAGCAUGCAAGAAAAAGCUAACUGCAGCAAAUGAAAGAUGUAAGGCACAUACCACAGUUUCCACAACCGCUUCAAGUUUCUUGUCUUCAGAUUUACACAUUGGGUCAUAAAUUUCUGCUUGCCAAUUAACCAAGUUAUGUGCAACCAGAAUCCAACGAUCCUCCUUGUGUAGUGGGACAUGUAUCUACAAAAGAACAUUUUGCUAAUCAAGUUAGUCCAUGAAGUAUGUUACAUUUUCUUCGUAGUAAAAUAGCUUCACCAGUAUUUACCAUUGUUGUUCACUUGUUCUCAAAUGCUAUAAAUCAAGAACAAGACAACACAAUUGUUAAUGGUUAAAGACUUCGUCCUUCAAAGCAUUAUUUCCUCUCGGAUAUAAUGAUCUUCAGACGAAGGUCAUGAAGGUCACACCUUCAUCAUUUUAUCAUGCAAACAUGAAUAUAAACAAGAAAGUAAAGGAAUACAGAAGAAUACAAAGGAAUAAAGGUAAUAAUUGCUAUAUAUCAAUAAUCCAUUUAUCAUUAUCUUCAUCAAAUAUGAAUAAGUAUUAACAAUGUUCAUAUUACAAUGAUACCUUCGGCUUGCCAAAAGGUGGGAGAACGGGAAUGACGCGAGAGCGAUUACAAUCCAGCGUGAACAGUACGGUGUUACUGUUCAUCUAUUUAUAGGCACGGGACGCAGCCCGGAUAAAAGUACAUUUAUAUCCCUGGUAACUGCCUAUAAAUCCUAACAUGAAUUAUUGAGGACUAUAAGCUCUUUAGCCCCUUUCAGUCAUCAUCACGCUUUGAGCUUCGUCAACAUGUUAGGCCGAAGGUCCUUGGCUUUUAGCUUCGUCGCCCACUCUUUGUCUCUCGUCAUAAAAGUUCUUCAUCCCAAAGCCGAAGCUUCCUGUAAUUAUUCAUAAUCAUGCUGAAAACAUAUGGUUAGACACAUUUUUGAGGACCUUCGGAAGAGUAAGGACCCAACAACCGUAUUGAGCUUUCCUACAUGUUCUGGGAAAGAAUUUGCAACUGUUCUGAGGUUGCAGUCCGUAGUUCGAAGUUGCUCCUGUUUUGGGGUUAAAGAAGCUUAGACAAUUUUCUUAAGGCAUAUAAUCUGUUGGGAUUAUAAAAAGAAAUGUGUGUACCACGAUUUCCUGAGUCAUGAUGAACUUUGUAAGUUUACCUCACAGGAUCAUCAUAGCCUCAACGAAAAGAUCCAUAAACUCCUUACAAAUUUUUCCUUGAGAUAAUGCAGUGACAAAUUGCAGUUCCGUCAUAGAAUAACGUCCAAGUGUAAGUUUUAUUGAAUUGCUUGGAUUUGCCUUCUUCAGAUGCAUGGUUCCAUAAGGGUCACCUUUUUGGGUGCAAGGGUAAGUACAACUACGUUGUAGUGCUUUCACUUGGUGUCGUGGGGUCCCAAGCGGGAUCACUUGCUUCCACGUGGGGUAGUGUCACUGCCGCCGCUAAAGGCAGCAUGAGCCUCAUAGGAGAGGCCCUCGAAGUCUUACCUUUCCUUUUCUCCUGGGUGGCUGGGUGGUAGUGUUAGACAGCUGAUUCCCUACCAUAUACAGGACCGCUCUAUAGCCGGUUGACCAUAGUAGGCAACAUAGAGUAUUAUGGUUAGUGACAUCCUGAUUGAGGGCUUGGUAUAGGAUCAUGAUUAGGAGUUUCCUUAGUAUAUGAACCUGAUUGGGGGUUUCCAUCUUUGAGGAGAUCUUGUCUAUGGGUUUUCUUUAGCCCAAGAUCUCCUCACUUCUAUAUAUUGUAACCUUUGUGUCUCUCAUUAAUCAAUCUACUAUUGCACACAAAUUCAAUCUCUUUCAGGUAGCCUAGGGGAGUGGUUCAUGCUAAAUCAAGGCAUUCUCCCAACAUUCGAGGAGGCAUCGACUAUGAUGUCUUUGGGGCACGACGUCGGUAGUGCCCGCCCGCUUGAGGUAGCGGAGGGUAGGACUGAACCGGAUUGAGGCGUCGUUUGUGUUAUGGCUCAAGGUCGGAAUUGCCGGAACUGGUGUUGGAGGCCACCGCUUCAUUGAGUGGAUGUGCUGGUGAAGCACUGAAGCCAUGUUGGAACAACAUGAAAGCACAUCAAUGUGCACCAAAGCUCCCACCUGUCUCGUCGAAUGUUGUCGAUACGACAUCAAGGUACCAAUGGUACUAGAGAAAUUUGUAGAUUUAAAGAUUGAGUGAGGGGCAUAGGCUGGAGGCCUGCUGGAUCAGGGCACUGUCACAGCAACAAGCACACAAACGAUUUAUAGAGGUUUGAGCCGCGUGUGCGUAAUACCCUAUGUCCUCAUUGUUGUGGAUGAAUUGAUGGAAGCAAAGACGAAAUUACAUGCUCAUACACUAUCUGAACUAGAGGACCGACUAGCCUGCCCCCUACUUUGGUUCUGGUGAGAGUUCUAUUCUAAUUACCAAAAGUGCAAAAGUCUAAGAAGGUUUGGACUAAGCCAGACCCUAGACUGACUUUUUUCCCUCUAAGUUAGACCUAGAAUGAGGGCAUGGCCUAGAUGCUCUAAUCGAUCCCCUAUCCCUAGACCUGCUUCUACAUUGCUCUAGUCCUCCCUUUUAUAGCACAAGGAGGACAUAAUUACAUCUCUGCGUGGACGGUAAGCCCUGCCCAAUAGAGGUUCAACUGCUCAUAUCUUGUCAUAGUUACUGUCAAGGACCUCCCUGUCACACCCGGAUUUUAGGGGUCCAAAACCCGGGUGCGAACAUAAUCACCAGGUGUGCUGGGACCAAGUCUCACACAUAUGAUGAAUCAUGGCACAUGAUCGAAUGUCACAUCUUUACUACAUAACAGGAGUUUUAUACAAAAUAAAUAAUUACAUUAUAAGGAGACGACGGUCCAACAACCCAAAGUUGACUGGGAGACGACGACCUAGACCUCUCACGAACUCGCCACAGCAUCCUCCAUGCGCCUCAUCCUGUGGUACCUGUUCUUGACCUGUGGGGGGGUGUGAGACAGCAAGAGUGAGCUCACAUACGUUCAUCGCUCAACAAGUUGUGGGGAAUAAUGUGCAUGAACUCGCCAAAGGUGGGAGCUCACGUGAAGUGUAAGGCUUACCAAAGAGGAUGGUUAGAGCUGAACAUUGCUUUUAAAGUUGGUCAAAAUUUUAUUAGCAAUUACUAAGUAUAAGUAAAUACCAACCCAAUUAAAUAGUAGAACAGAAGUAACAACAUCACCUGCGAUGCAAUGCAUAUGACAAAUUGAAUUUAAGUUCCAUAAAUUAAUCAUGUGAGUGUCCGAGCUGCUCUUGACCGUGAGCACGGCUAGUAUACCAGUUUUACACUCUGCAGAGGUUGCACAUCUUUACCCACAAGUCAUGUUACCCAUCUGCCAAGGGAUCGCGACUUCCCAUACACCUCUACCGAGGAGGCGAGGCAGGGUAACACUACGAGGCCUUUACAAAGUUCCACUAGCUUCAGAAAACCCGCUACAGUUUAUAGGAAGCUCCAAUGCAGGAAUCCCUUGCAGGAGCGCCAUCGCAGCAAAAUCCUCCCGAGGGCCUCCCUACACUGACCACUCCCCUACUGCCCUUGCCCCUUUCGGGUAAGGUAGUCCUCCACUAGCUUUCCUAAUUAGUCAGCCAAGGGCGUCCAUAAACCCUUGUGGUAGCACUGUUUUCCCGGGUGGUUCUCCAUGUUCCAAUUAACAUAAUGAUCUUAUCAUGAACAGUAAAUAACAACGGAUAACAAAAGUAUAAUCAUGAAUAAUGUAUCUUCAUACCCGAAACCACAUAAAGCACUAGCAAGUACUACCCAAAAAGUUCAGUGUAAACAAGGUAUAAAGAUAAUCAAACUAGGGUAACCUAUUGGGUCCCAUCAAAAUUAACCUAUGCAGAUCAUUAUGAUUAAUCAGAACAUGAGUAGGUAAAAAGAAGUGAUCAAGGGCACAACUUGCCUGGGACUUGAGAUUCCAGUACCAACUUGCUUUUCAGAUGACACAAGUCCUCGCGCUAGUCGUAGCAAUACAAACAAACAUGGUAUAGAUAAAAUUAACAUCACACCAAACAUAAGAACAAACUGAAUAAUAAUAAUCUACACGUUGCUACGAGACUAACGCAACUUGAACGAGUCAAAUCGGAGUUAAAACGGAGGAGUUAUGAAUUUCCUAGGGUUUUAUGUGCUUGAAAGGAGAUUAAAUGGGAAAUUGAUUUUCUAACUGUUUUCAUGAUAAAACAGAGACUCUAAGUAAUAGACAAUAACAUUACAAAAUUUUAGAAAUUGGAAUGGAGUAAUUUGGACUUAGUAUGAAUUUUCUAGGGAUUAAACAUGUUUUAAUAAUUAAGUUCACAUUAAAAUCAUUUCUGAAAUUAAUUCAUCUGCCUCUGGUUUGCGCGCAUGAAAUAUAGAAAGUGCAGGGUCUAACCCGCAAAGGUUCCUAAGACUCAGGCCGCAACCUAGGUGGACGGCGGGUUCAAUUUUAAACUAACCGAGGGGCCCUUCUGCAAUUCUACAAAGCCGAAGCGGUAUCGUCAAAUCUCGGUCUUGCGAUCGCAAAUGGACGGUCCCGAUUAGAUCUCCCAGUGCAAGGAAUUGGUGCGCAACCAGAGCCGUCAAACCAGUGAUCGAAGGUCCGGAUUUAAUAAUGCCCCUAUUCGAUUUUCACCCGCCCGAUUCAAGAUCGACGGCCCCGAUCGGACCUGACCGAACCGGUACCCCCGGCUAAUCGCGACCGUUGGUUAAAAGAUCAACGCCGCAUGUUCUUUUCUUCUCCACCUACCCCAGGCAGCGGCGCCGCCGCCAUGGCUACACGGCGGAGGCACGGCCGAGAUCCAAUUGGCCAUCCCCGAUCACCAAACCCAAAUUGGACCGAGCUAAACGUAGAGGAGGACGAGGCGAGUCGAUUGGAUGGGUUUCUUACCGACGGAAUGAGGCACAGGAGCGUGGCCACGGCGAUGGGCGGAACAGGGACCAGGCGCGAGCUCCGACGAGGAAUUGAGAGCGGCGCGACCGAAGUUUGUGCCCCCCCGAGUGGUCACACACCUGCGGCAUGAGUAGAGCAACACCUCGGCACCACCCGAAAGCCUGAUUAUGGAGUAACGACCAACGACCGUGGUGGCGGUGAUGAAGGUUUCUCUCCCCUCUCCCGGCGUCGAUGAUAAACUGGCAGAGGAGUAGUUGGGUCGCGAGGGUAGGCGGAUACGGAAGGAGAGGCGAGCCUGGUGAGCUUUAUACCCGGAACGUGCCCACGGUCGCAGGGAGAAGCCGAGCAACCCCCAUCGCCGAGCUCUGCGGAGUCCGCGCGGGGUCUGUUCCUUCAACCACCAGCGCAAGAAGCGGAGAGGAGAUAGGGAGGGGAUAGAGCUAGCACGGGUCCGCCGUCACCCAUGAGCGCGAGGCAGCGGAGGCGGGCCCUGGGUUUUCCUCCGCGGUUUGCGGCAACAGCACCACUGGCGCGCGCGAUUUCCGCGGCUCAGGUUGCGAGUAGCGAGUCCGAGCGCGAGUUAGGAGAUGACCCAAAGAAGCCGGUCGCGGGACCCACGCGACAGCCAAAGGGGGGGUUUAGCGCGCGCUGAGGUGGGCUGCCCGCGGAGAAGGAGUGGGCCGCUGGUGGACAUUUCGGCCCAGGUGAGGUCUUCCCCUUCUUUUUUUUUAUUUUCUAAUUUCAUUUCAAUUUACAAAUCCAAACUAAAUCAAAUUUGGUUUUAAGACUCCAAUACAAACUACAUGUACAUCACAAAAUUUUCAGCCUGAAUGCAAAUAUAUAUAUAUAUAUAUUAUAUUUGUCUUAUUUAAUUCUUUUAUACAUGAUUCCCAAUCAUAUAAUAGAGAAUAGGUAUUUGAAAAAUGUCAUUUGUAGUUUGUACUUUUCUUUAGUGAAUAAGUAUAAAUAUAUUUUAAUAAAGUAACAAAUUUAUAUGGAGAUUAUUUUAAAUCUUUAUUGGAAACAUAAUUAUGUUAUGUGGUGUUGUCCCACAUGUAAGAAAAGAGAAAAAAAAAUUAUUGGAGGAUUUUCUAGCACCAGAAAUCUUUAGAGGAUUUAUUUACUAUUAUCUUAUUUAUUAGUUUAUUUAUUUUCAAAAAAAAAUUUCAAGAUGAGAUUUUAGGUGCUACAAAUCCUACCCCCCUUAACAGAAAUCUCGUCCUCGAGAUUUGUAAGAAAAGGGAUGUAUACUCAUAUUGUUCUCGGAACAUGUGCACAGACAAAGAAAUCUCGGCAUGAUGCAUAAUUCUUUAACAAAACAUAGGGUCAAUAGACCUUAUUAUUAUCACUAAAAUAGUAAAAUACUAACUAAUAGCUAAACUAAUAUUUAGGUCUUACAAAUAGUAAAAUAUAUAUGUAUCUAUAUUUAUGUUUAUCUCUAUUCUUGUUGUUCGUUGACUUCUUCACCGACUACUUCAUCUUCAACUAGCUCUUCUUCUUGAAUUUCAUGUUCACUUGGUUCAGCUUCUACUUCUGCAUGAUGGGCAUGUCCCCGGUUGAUAGAUAGGGGCUGACUCUUUCCUGCCGAGGCUUGUCCUUGCUUCAUCGGAGCCGGUGUAGUGUAGGCAGCUCUGUUGGGACAGUAGUUGGCGUAGUGUCCCGGUUGUCCACACUUGAAGCAUGCCCUGUUGGUGGUUGUGUUAGGAGCAACGGGUCCUGCUGGGGUGCUUGCUUUCGGAGGAGCAGUUGGUGUCUGUUGAGUUUGUUGUCCGGUACUUCCACUAGCUGGUGUACUUGGAGUGGUAGUAUAGCGAGGACGGGAACUACUUCCAGCCUGCCCUUGGUUAGCAACCUUUCUUUUCUCUCCAAAUAUACUCCUCUUGUUUUCUACAGCAAUAGCUUUGUCAAGUAGCCUUUGGAAGGAUGGGAAUGUGUGCGAUACCAGUUGAUAUUGCAAGGGUCCAAUCAAACCGUCCAGAAAAAGCUCCUGCUUUUGCUCAUCAUCCUCAACAUCUCUAGGAGCAUAUCGAGAUAACUGGAUGAAUUUGUCCCUAUAUUCACUCACGGACAUACUUCCUUGCUUGAGGGAGAGAAACUCCUUUCUCUUAAUCUUCAUGAGUCCAGCAGGAAUAUGGUAAUUCCUGAAUUGUGUGGAGAAUUCUGCCCAGGUAAUUGUAUCGACAGCAGCAUGAGCAGCGCAGUACGCAUCCCACCAAUCUGCAGCAGGACCAGCGAGACGACCUGAUGCGUAGAGUACUUUCUCUCGGUCCGAGCACUGAGCUAUGUUGAGCAUCUUCUCUAUAGACUUUAGCCAGUCAUCAGCUUGUAGUGGAUCCGUGGAGUUGGAGAAGGUUGGUGGUUUGUGGCUCAUGAAUUCCCGAUGCUUAUCUCGGGGUGGAACUGGUGGUGGAGGUGGAGGCAAUGGCACCUGUUGCUGUUGCUGCUGUUGUUGAAGUUGUUGUUGCAGCUGCUGUUGUUGCACCCUUCUCUCCUGGCGUAUCUCUUCCCGCUCUUGGUGCAUCUCCCGACGUGCAUCCUCUCUUUCCUGGCGCAUUUCCUGGCGUUCUUGCUGCAUUUGGGCGCGCAUAUCUGCCAUAGUGUCAGCCAUUUGCUGCAUCAUCCUCAUUUGAGCUGCAAUCAGUGGGUCAACUCCGCCUGGUGGAGGAUUAGGAGGAUUCAUCUCUGCUGGCUGUGGCUGGGGUUGUCUAUAUAUCCGCCGAGUGUGUCGAUUAGGAGGUAAAUCAAUUCCACCACCCCUCCUGGUAUUGACCAUCUAAGUUAGAAGCAUAUCGUAAGAUAGUUUUGCAAGGGAAUCAUUUGGUAGGCAGAAUGAAUAGGCUGAUAGUUGGUUAUGUACUGAAGAUUCUUUGGUAGGGCUUGACCAGAUAUUUUAUGUCAAGACUAGGGUAACUAGUUGUAUGAGGUGAAUGUCCAAAGGUAAGAUAGAAUCUGAUAAGAUGAGAUAGAUACGGAAUACUAGAUAUUUUUUUUAGGGAAAUAAUCUAGUUUAUCUAGUUAUUUUUAUAAACAUUUUUUUUAUAUGUAUAUGCAGAUGUAAUUGUGGACAUUACUCCACAACUCAUCACACUCAAUCAAAGAUCCAAAUCAAACAAGUAUCAUUUUUCUCGAACACGCAGGAGAUCUGCGUAUCAUUCCAUUAAUAGAUAGAAGAAGGUACAACACACCACACCCGACACACACCUGACACGACACACACACACAUGACACAACAAGAUACAAGACGCAACACAGAAACCACACACAGCCACUCUGAACAAGCCACUAGUCUAUCCCCCUGGGUCAAGCAUAAACAUAAGAGUUGAAAGCAGGUUCAGCCCUUUUGCCCCGGCACUACACCACAUCCUGAGCUCAUCGCCAGCGAGGGUGAGAGCACUCGCCAGACUUGGCGAUCUCCCAUUAAACACGCAGUCGUUGCGAUGACGCCAUAGGCUCCAAGCGCCAAGAAUAACUAGAGAAUUGAAGCCGGAUUGGAGAUCACGGGGAAUCUUCUCCACAGCUCCGCUCCACCAAUCAUCAAGGCUGCAACUAGCAUUAUCUGGUGAAAGGUUAGGCAACCCAGACCUGCUUAACAAGGAAUACCAGAACUGUCGUGCAAAGACGCAAGAGAUGAGAAGAUGUUGUAUUGUUUCCUCUUCUUGGUCGCAAAGGGGGCACACACUGGGGUGGGGUAGCCCCCUUCUAGCAAGACGGUCUGCGGUCCAGCAUCUGUUGUGCAUGACAAGCCAAAGGAAGAAACUGCACUUAGAAGGUGCCCAAGAUUCCCAAAUGCGCUCAUAAGCUCUCAAAGAAGUGGAACCAAGAAAUAACAUAUCAUAAGCCGACUUUGAAGAGUAUUGGCCUGUCGGGGAGAAUUUCCAGAUAUGCUUGUCUGGCACUCCAACAUUAAUGGAGUAAUCUGCAAUGACUUCACUAAGAGUUAAAAAAUCCGAGAGGACAUCCCAAGUGAUGGUGCCUCUCAGGUCCCGAAUCCAAGCCAUCUCCACGAUACCCUCAGCCACCGUUCUCCUAUUGGUAAUCCUGGUCGGGACGAUGGCAAAAAUAUGAGGAGUUAGAUCCUCAAUCCUCAACCCCAUCAACCAUCUGUCCCUCCAAAAUAAGGUGUUACGACCAUCACCAAUUUCUGUAAUCAAAGCUGUAGAGAGGAUAGAUUUCAGAAUGCUGGAACUCUGGAGAGGUAAAUCAGCCCAAGACUUCGAGGGAUCCGUUUUUUCCAACCACAGCCAUCUAACCCGAAGGGCCCAAUUCAGCUUUUGUAAAUCUGAGAUGCCAAGCCCACCAAGCUCCUUUGGGCGUGUCACUUUGCCCCAAGCGACUAAGCAGUGGCCACCGAGUACAUCCUUACGUCCUUUCCAAAGAAAACCACGUCUAAUCUUGUCAAUGGCUUUGAUAGCCCACUUAGGUAAAUCCAAUGCCAUGGCGUGGUAAAUAACUGUUGCCGUGAGCACAUGUUGCACAAGUAUCAUAAGAACAAGCAUUUCAAGCAUAUAGCUACAAAAAAAAUAGUUUUGUUUUUUUUUUUCCUAAGAGUAGGUCUCCUAUUCCUAAAGGUCACUUUUAGGCACAGGACUUCAAAGUGUGAAAUCCACAUUUGUCUUUAGAAUGAAAAGGUAAGAAUAAUCAGAGUAAGCGGAAUUAGAUGAGAAAAGAUUAAGAAAAGUUUAGAAAGAAUCAGAGUAGCAAGGUAAGUAGAUAAUGGUUGUCCAGUUCUAUCUAGGUUUCGUCUUACAGUCAACAUUGCCUCUGAUACCACUUCUGUCACACCCGGAUUUUAGGGGUCCAAAACCCGGGUGCGAACAUAAUCACCAGGUGUGCUGGGACCAAGUCUCACACAUAUGAUGAAUCAUGGCACAUGAUCGAAUGUCACAUCUUUACUACAUAACAGGAGUUUUAUACAAAAUAAAUAAUUACAUUAUAAGGAGACGACGGUCCAGCAACCCAAAGUUGACUGGGAGACGACGACCUAGACCUCUCACGAACUCGCCACAGCAUCCUCCAUGCGCCUCAUCCUGUGGUACCUGUUCUUGACCUGUGGGGGGGUGUGAGACAGCAAGAGUGAGCUCACAUACGUUCAUCGCUCAACAAGUUGUGGGGAAUAAUGUGCAUGAACUCGCCAAAGGUGGGAGCUCACGUGAAGUGUAAGGCUUACCAAAGAGGAUGGUUAGAGCUGAACAUUGCUUUUAAAGUUGGUCAAAAUUUUAUUAGCAAUUACUAAGUAUAAGUAAAUACCAACCCAAUUAAAUAGUAGAACAGAAGUAACAACAUCACCUGCGAUGCAAUGCAUAUGACAAAUUGAAUUUAAGUUCCAUAAAUUAAUCAUGUGAGUGUCCGAGCUGCUCUUGACCGUGAGCACGGCUAGUAUACCAGUUUUACACUCUGCAGAGGUUGCACAUCUUUACCCACAAGUCAUGUUACCCAUCUGCCAAGGGAUCGCGACUUCCCAUACACCUCUACCGAGGAGGCGAGGCAGGGUAACACUACGAGGCCUUUACAAAGUUCCACUAGCUUCAGAAAACCCGCUACAGUUUAUAGGAAGCUCCAAUGCAGGAAUCCCUUGCAGGAGCGCCAUCGCAGCAAAAUCCUCCCGAGGGCCUCCCUACACUGACCACUCCCCUACUGCCCUUGCCCCUUUCGGGUAAGGUAGUCCUCCACUAGCUUUCCUAAUUAGUCAGCCAAGGGCGUCCAUAAACCCUUGUGGUAGCACUGUUUUCCCGGGUGGUUCUCCAUGUUCCAAUUAACAUAAUGAUCUUAUCAUGAACAGUAAAUAACAACGGAUAACAAAAGUAUAAUCAUGAAUAAUGUAUCUUCAUACCCGAAACCACAUAAAGCACUAGCAAGUACUACCCAAAAAGUUCAGUGGUAAACAAGGUAUAAAGAUAAUCAAACUAGGGUAACCUAUUGGGUCCCAUCAAAAUUAACCUAUGCAGAUCAUUAUGAUUAAUCAGAACAUGAGUAGGUAAAAAGAAGUGAUCAAGGGCACAACUUGCCUGGGACUUGAGAUUCCAGUACCAACUUGCUUUUCAGAUGACACAAGUCCUCGCGCUAGUCGUAGCAAUACAAACAAACAUGGUAUAGAUAAAAUUAACAUCACACCAAACAUAAGAACAAACUGAAUAAUAAUAAUCUACACGUUGCUACGAGACUAACGCAACUUGAACGAGUCAAAUCGGAGUUAAAACGGAGGAGUUAUGAAUUUCCUAGGGUUUUAUGUGCUUGAAAGGAGAUUAAAUGGGAAAUUGAUUUUCUAACUGUUUUCAUGAUAAAACAGAGACUCUAAGUAAUAGACAAUAACAUUACAAAAUUUUAGAAAUUGGAAUGAAGUAAUUUGGACUUAGUAUGAAUUUUCUAGGGAUUAAACAUGUUUUAAUAAUUAAGUUCACAUUAAAAUCAUUUCUGAAAUUAAUUCAUCUGCCUCUGGUUUGCGCGCAUGAAAUAUAGAAAGUGCAGGGUCUAACCCGCAAAGGUUCCUAAGACUCAGGCCGCAACCUAGGUGGACGGCGGGUUCAAUUUUAAACUAACCGAGGGGCCCUUCUGCAAUUCUACAAAGCCGAAGCGGUAUCGUCAAAUCUCGGUCUUGCGAUCGCAAAUGGACGGUCCCGAUUAGAUCUCCCAGUGCAAGGAAUUGGUGCGCAACCAGAGUCGUCAAACCAGUGAUCGAAGGUCCGGAUUUAAUAAUGCCCAUAUUCGAUUUUCACCCGCCCGAUUCAAGAUCGACGGCCCCGAUCGGACCUGACCGAACCGGUACCCCCGGCUAAUCGCGACCGUUGGUUAAAAGAUCAACGCCGCAUGUUCUUUUCUUCUCCACCUACCCCAGGCAGCGGCGCCGCCGCCAUGGCUACACGGCGGAGGCACGGCCGAGAUCCAAUUGGCCAUCCCCGAGCACCAAACCCAAAUUGGACCGAGCUAAACGUAGAGGAGGACGAGGCGAGUCGAUUGGAUGGGUUUCUUACCGACGGAAUGAGGCACAGGAGCGUGGCCACGGCGAUGGGCGGAACAGGGACCAGGCGCGAGCUCCGACGAGGAAUUGAGAGCGGCGCGACCGGAGUUUGUGCCCCCCGAGUGGUCACACACCUGCGGAAUGAGUAGAGCAACACCCCGGCACCACCCGAAAGCCUGAUUAUGGAGUAACGACCAACGACCGUGGUGGCGGUGAUGAAGGUUUCUCUCCCCUCUCCCGGCGUCGAUGAUAAACUGGCAGAGGAGUAGUUGGGUCGCGAGGGUAGGCGGAUACGGAAGGAGAGGCGAGCCUGGUGAGCUUUAUACCCGGAACGUGCCCACGGUCGCAGGGAGAAGCCGAGCAACCCCCAUCGCCGAGCUCUGCGGAGUCCGCGCGGGGUCUGUUCCUUCAACCACCAGCGCAAGAAGCGGAGAGGAGAUAGGGAGGGGAUAGAGCUAGCACGGGUCCGCCGUCACCCAUGAGCGCGAGGCAGCGGAGGCGGGCCCUGGGUUUUCCUCCGCGGUUUGCGGCAACAGCACCACUGGCGCGCGCGAUUUCCGCGGCUCAGGUUGCGAGUAGCGAGUCCGAGCGCGAGUUAGGAGAUGACCCAAGGAAGCCGGUCGCGGGACCCACGCGACAGCCAAAGGGGGGGGUUUAGCGCGCGCUGAGGUGGGCUGCCCGCGGAGGAGUGGGCCGCUGGUGGACAUUUCGGCCCAGGUGAGGUCUUCCCCUUCUUUUUUUUUAUUUUCUAAUUUCAUUUCAAUUUACAAAUCCAAACUAAAUCAAAUUUGGUUUUAAGACUCCAAUACAAACUACAUGUACAUCACAAAUUUUUCAGCCUGAAUGCAAAUAUAUAUAUAUAUAUAUUAUAUUUGUCUUAUUUAAUUCUUUUAUACAUGAUUCCCAAUCAUAUAAUAGAGAAUAGGUAUUUGAAAAAUGUCAUUUGUAGUUUGUACUUUUCUUUAGUGAAUAAGUAUAAAUAUAUUUUAAUAAAGUAACAAAUUUAUAUGGAGAUUAUUUUAAAUCUUUAUUGGAAACAUAAUUAUGUUAUGUGGUGUUGUCCCACAUGUAAGAAAAGAGAAAAAAAAAUUAUUGGAGGAUUUUCUAGCACCAGAAAUCUUUAGAGGAUUUAUUUACUAUUAUCUUAUUUAUUAGUUUAUUUAUUUUCAAAAAAAAAAUUCAAGAUGAGAUUUUAGGUGCUACACUCCCGACCUAGGGUAGCUGGCCCCUGACUACGGACAGCUUCAUCUUCCUCCUCCUCAAGGCCCUCCAGUAAGAACAGCCGCUUAUAGAUGCGAUUGUGGCCCCUUGUGAAUUUGUCGUCACAAUUGUAGCAGAGGCCAAGGCGGCGGCGCUCUUCUUGUUCUGCCUGCGAGAGGCGCUUGAUGGUGCGGCCUUCGACGGUAAUGGUCCCCGGCGCGGCCGGUUUGGCUCCUGGCGGCGCGGGUAGGGCCAGCCGGGCGGCAGGGGCCGACAGUAGAGGACGCCUAGGAGCGCGCACGGCUGGGGCGACGAAUUGCUCGCGCAACUCGAAUUGGCGCGCCAGACUCAUGGCGGCGACCAGCGUUUGAGGAUUCUGGAUCCUGAUGUCUAUGCUGAGUGGCGGCUGGAGUCCGCCGACGAAGAGCUGUACCCGCUGCGCCUCCUGGAGUGGUCCCGCGCGAGGAAGCAGGGCCUGGAACCGGUCCUGGUACUCGGCAACCGUACCGGUGCGCCUGCACUCCGCCAGUUCGGCCAACGGCGCGGAACGCAGGGGCGGCCCGUACCGAAGGUGCAGCAGCUCCGUGAAGCGGUGCCAGGAUGGCGUGCCCUCGUCCGCCUGGACCAUAAGGUACCACAUCUGUGCGCCCUCCUCAAGGUUGUAGGAGGCCAUCCAUACCUUCUCCUCCAUGAUGCGCUGCUGAUGGAAAUACGAUUCGCACCGACUGGUGAAAAUCAGUGGAUCAGAUUUCCCAUCAUAGCGGGGGAAAUCCAUCUUUUGAAAGUGCGGCGGUCGAUCAUUGUGGUGCUGCCCAUCAUUGGUCCCAUGGCCGCCCGACGAGGAGGUCUUUCCCUUCUGGAGCUUGGCGACAGAGGAUUGGAGGGCGGCGACCGUCGAUGUCAGGGUCUCUAUUAUCUUGGCCAAAUCAGAGGUGGUUGGCUCGGCCAUGGUAGAGGUGGUGUCGGCGUAAGGCGGCGAGGUUGGUGGGCUUGGCUGGGAUUGCGGCUGGGUGGAAGAAGAAGUCAAGGAACGACUGGAUCGCGAUACCAGGUUGUCAAGGACCUCCCGACCUAGGGUAGCUGGCCCCUGACUACGGAGUUCGUACCACGGUCCGUCGUCGCCGGUGAGGUUUUUCCCCUCAGCCGUCAGCUUGUUUAGAGAGAGAGAGAGAGAUUAGGAAAUAAUAAUCUUGCUUGCUUUAUUCCCUGCUGCCAUGUGGCUUAUAAAUAGCCCUAUGGCUAACCAACUUCUCCUAUAAACUCUCAACUAACUCCUAUUUUCUUGGACUUAUCUGCUGCCAACUAACUCUCCACAAUUCUCUCAUCUCAAUCUUAUUCUCUAGCCUUAUCUUUAUUUCUAAAUCUAUCCACUGGUUGUGGCCUCCUCCUGUGCGCGUUCAGCGCGCUCUGCAGCGCGCGCGUGCGUCACGGCGGCGCCUAUAUGUGCGCCCGCACAUGACAGUUACAUAGUGCACUCAAUCGUGCCGUAGUGUUGAACAUGUUGUGCUACAGUGGACGGUAUGCGUGCCCACACCGUUGAGUAUAAUGUAUUAGCUGGUACUUUAUAAUACCUUCGGGUAUGCCUGUCAUCGCAGGCAUGGCUAUAAUGAGAACUUCAACUGCACGUCGUGCAUAGUGGUGCUGGCUCGCCUGAUGCCCUUUGACUACAAUGUUGCCCAUCACAUUAAAUGUGAUGAACAUGAGACUUAUAUCCUUGCUAGGCGCCACAAGGCUGAUGUGGUCAGAGUCGCACAUGGAACCAGAGUCGUCCCACCCGUCGUUCUUGGGGUCAUCUUGCCUGGGACCGUCACGUAGCACCGGGUUCAUACUACCUAUGCCUUUCAUCACAUUAAAUGUGAUGAACAUGAGACUUAUAUCCUUGCUAGGCGCCACAAGGCUGAUGUGGUCAGAGUCGCACAUGGAACCAGAGUCGUCCCACCCGUCGUUCUUGGGGUCAUCUUGCCUGGGACCGUCACGUAGCACCGGGUCCAUACUACCUAUGCCUUUCUGCCUGAGGGUGUGGUCCAUAGUGUGUGGGUGCUGGUCCUACAUGGCCCCGGGACCUGCGCUUCAGGAGCUUGGCUCCCGAGUUGCAGGCCCUACUGAUGCCAAAUUUGCACCAGCUGGGCCCACUACGGGUCUCUCACUUAUGUGGAAUUUCUCGGAGGGCGUUUUGCCACUAUUCGGGGGUAAUCACUGUUAGGCAAUAGAAUAUGCCAUCUGUGGAUAUCCUAGCUGCUAUAGAUAGCAGAUGUAAAUCAGGGAUAGAAUCCUAGCUGCUAUAGAUAGUAGAUGUAAAUCAGGGAUUAGUUGCUAGAUAUAGCAGAUGUAAAUCAGGGGAAUUAUCCCUGCCUUGUAAAGCAGGCCAGCCAGCUCUAUAUAAUAGAAGGUGCCCCCCUCUCAUUGAGGUGUGGCCAAUUGCCCUCAACCCUGUUUCUCUACAUGGUAUCCGAGACCCAGGCAUCGAUCUAAUUUCCCAACCCCCCCCCCCUCACCUUCUCUCCUCCAGCCGCGCCGCCUUAACCAGACCGCGCCGCCUGCCCUCUCCUUCCCCUUCCCUGUGCCAUGAGCACCAUCUCCGAUGCUGCCGAUUCUGCUCCUGUCCUCUGCCCCUUUGCCACCAUCAACAUCAUGCUCCACGUCCCCAUGACCCUGGAGUUGAAACCUUCCAACUACACCAAGUGGUCGACGACGUUUCAGGCCACGUGUGGGAAAUUUGGGCUGCUGCAUCACCUCUCCACCUCGCGCCCCACCGAUGCGGCAUGGGCACAGGCUGACUUCUGCGUCCGCGGAUGGAUGUACAACACCACCUCCGACGCCGUCCUCAACCUCGCCAUGACCGACAGCACCCAGACGGCGAGCGCCCUUUGGAAGGCCAUCGGCGAGGUGUUCCAGGCAAACAAAGCUCCCCGCGCCAUCUUCCUGAAUCACGAGUUUCACUCGAUGACUCAGGGGGACCUGUCCAUUGACGCCUACUGCGUUCGCAUGAAGGAGAAGGCCGACGAACUACGCGACGUUGGGCAGCCCGUAUCUGAGCCCAACCUCGUCCUCAACCUGCUGCGUGGACUUAACGAGGUCUACUCCGGCGUCGCCGACAACAUCGCCGGACAGCAGCCCCUCACCCUCGCCACCGCACGCCAUCAGCUACUCCUCAAAGAGCUGCGGCUGCAGAACGACGAGAAGACGCGUGCUGCUGCUGCCCUCCUAGCUAAUGUUGGUGGUUCGCAGCAGCAGCACCAGCAGGGCGCCCGGCGCCCUAAUACCAAAAAAGGCGGCCACCAGCCCUUCUACAACACCUCUGGUAGCUUCUCCAACAACUCCGGCAACACCAGCACCAACAAACGUGUUCCCUGGGGCUUUAAUCCCUGGAUUGGCGAACGUGUGGCCCCUGGAGAGCGCGUCACCCCUCCUGGACAGCGCCGCCAGGAAGGUUCUGGUGCCCAGGCUGGGCGCACCCUGGGCAUUCUCGGGUCUUCCCCGCAGGCCCACACCGCCUUCGCUCCACUCCAGGCGUCCUCCAGCAGCUCCAACACCUCCACCAGCACCUGGGAUGCAGCAGGCCUCAUCGCUGCCCUGCAAAACAUGCAACUUCAGGGCAACUCGCCCUGGGUUGUUGACUCCGGCGCCUCUACGCACAUGACGUCCUCGGAUGGUAUGCUUACUCAGCGCCUUCCCCCCUCCAUCUCCUCAAUAACAGUAGGUAAUGGCACUAGUAUACCUGUUAUGUCUAGAGGUCAUUCCGUCCUUCCUACACCUACAACAAAUUUUGCUCUUAAUAAUAUCCUUGUCGCCCCAUCCAUAGUCCGCAACCUGUUAUCCGUUCGUCAAUUCACUCGCGACAACAAUUGUUCCUUUGAAUUUGACGCCCAUGGUUUCUCUAUUAAGGAUCUCAGGACGGAACGCGUGAUUCUCUGUUGUAACUGCGACGGGGACCUAUACACCAUGCCUGCCUCCACACCUGGCGCUCCACCUCAUGCUCUCCUGGCUACAUCGUCAACUCUCUGGCAUCAACGUCUCGGUCACCCCGCCCCCGCCGUUUUAGAGCGUCUCAAUAAACUUCAUGUUAUUUCCUGUAAUAAAGUACAACACUCCCUAUGUCACUCAUGUCAACUAGGCAAGCAUACGCGUCUACCUUUUAGUUCUUCGCAUUCCAUAACUCAUGCACCCUUUGAACUCGUUCACUGUGAUGUAUGGACUUCACCCAUCAAUAGUCUGUCUGGUUUUUCAUAUUACUUGGUCUGUUUGGAUGAUUACACUCACUACUGUUGGGUUUUUCCGCUCCGAAAAAAAUCUGAUGUCCACCAACACUUAGUCGAGCUUGCUGCCUCUGCCCAAACACAAUUCAGCCUCCCCGUCAAAUGCUUUCAGGCUGAUAACGGCACUGAAUUCGUAAACACUGCCACCAUCAAAUUCCUCGCUGCUCAAGGCACUCACCUUCGCCUCUCCUGCCCCUACACAUCUCCCCAAAAUGGCAAGGCUGAACGCAUCAUCCGCACACUCAACAAUUCCAUUCGCACCAUGCUUCUACAUGCCUCCCUACCACCCACAUAUUGGGCCGAGGGACUCCUGACAGCCUGCUACCUCCAUAAUAGGCGCCCAUCCUCCUCUAUUCAGCAUGAAAUUCCCUAUACUCGUCUGCAUAAUCAACCACCAACUUAUAGCCAUCUGCGUGUUUUUGGGUCUCUCUGUUACCCCAACAUGCAAGCAACCUCUAAACAUAAGCUCGCCCCUCGCUCCACGGCAUGCAUCUUCCUAGAAUAUCCUAGCUCACACAAAGGUUACCGCUGUCUCGACCUAUCAACCCGUCGCAUCAUCAUCUCUCGCCAUGUCACAUUCGACGAGACCACCUUUCCCUUUGCAGCCACCUCAGACGUCUCGUCCUCUGCUUCCCUAGAAUUCCUCCUCGACGACGAUAUGGUUUCGGUGCCCUGUCCUACUGUUGUUGCAGGUGGGACUCCAUCCUCGACGCACGUGGUUGCUCCAUCCCACUCGGAUGUUGAGCAACCGCCCCCAGACGUUGCAGCCUCACAUGACUCGCCUUCUGCGACACCGGGCGGGCGUGGUCCCGUGCCCCCGCCUGGACCCGACGUGGUUCCCUUCCCACGAGUCUACGUCCGUCGUUCCCGUACGACGUCUACGUCCGAGCCGGCAGCUGUCCCAGCAGCCCCUAUGACUUCAUCGCCUCCGCCGUCGCCGCGCGUCACUCGCACCAUGACGGGUGCCAUUCCUCGUGUCUGCUAUGAGGGGCUGGCGGCCACGACGUCACCCUCACCAUCGCCGCUCCCGACGAACUACCGCAGCGCGCUGGCCGACGCCAACUGGCGUGCCGCGAUGAUGGAUGAAUAUCAGGCCCUCGUCGACAACAACACCUGGGAGCUUGUUCCGCGCCCCCCGGAGCCAACGUCGUAACGGGGAAGUGGAUCUUCCGGCACAAGUUCCAUGCCGAUGGGUCCCUUGCUCGCCACAAGGCUCGCUGGGUUGUCCGUGGCUUCUCCCAGCGCGAGGGCGUUGACUACGACGAGACCUUCAGCCCGGUUGUCAAACCGGCUACCAUACGGUCUGUACUCAGCAUCGCUGCAUCCCGCGCCUGGCCCAUUCAUCAACUGGACGUGAAGAACGCCUUUCUUCACGGCCACCUCGAGGAGACCGUCUACUGCCAACAGCCGCCAGGAUUCGUCGACCCUGGCGCUCCAGAUCACGUCUGCCAUCUGCAGAAGUCCUUGUAUGGCCUGAAGCAGGCCCCGCGGGCAUGGUACCAGCGCUUCGCCACCUUCGUCCGGCACCUCGGCUUCGUCGCCUCCAUCUCCGAUACGUCUCUUUUCGUUCUACGAGAGGGGACAAGUCUCGCCUACCUACUGUUGUACGUCGACGACAUCAUCCUCACCGCCUCGUCGUCGGCCCUGCUACAACACAUUAUGACUCGGUUGAGCUCCGAGUUUUCCAUGACGGAUCUUGGCGCCCUCCACCACUUCCUCGGCAUCGCUGUCACGCGCUCCUCCGAUGGUCUCUUCCUCUCCCAGCGACAGUACGCGGUCGAGCUUCUUCAGCGCGCAGGCAUGGCUGAGUGUCAUCCGACAUCGACACCUGUUGACACUCACGCCAAGCUAUCCGCGACCGACGGGGAUCUACUGUCAGAGAAGGAUGCAUCAGAGUACAGGAGCUUAGCGGGGGCUCUCCAGUACCUGACGUUGACUCGUCCUGAUCUGGCAUAUGCUGUUCAGCAGGUGUGCCUCUUCAUGCACGCCCCGCGCGAGCCUCACCGUGCGCUGGUCAAGCGCAUCUUACGCUUCGUCCAGGGGACUCUCUCCUCGGGUCUUCACAUUGGCACCGGGUCUAUCACCAAGCUGACUGCCUACUCUGACGCCGACUGGGCAGGCCGCCCAGACUCUCGACGAUCCACCUCUGGCUUCUGUGUCUAUCUCGGCGACAAUCUAGUUUCAUGGUCCUCCAAGCGCCAGACCACGGUGUCCCGCUCUAGCGCCGAGGCCGAGUAUCGGGCUGUGGCUCACGUUGUGGCUGAGUGCUGCUGGCUUCGACAGUUACUCCAGGAGCUACACAUCCAGCUGCCUUCUGCCACAGUUGUCUUCUGCGACAAUGUCAGCGCCGUCUACAUGACGGCCAACCCCGUCCACCACAAGCGAACGAAGCACAUCGAGAUCGACAUUCACUUCGUCCGCGAAAAGGUGGCCCUUGGUGAAAUUCGGGUUCUCCAUGUGCCCUCCUCUCACCAGUUCGCCGACAUCAUGACUAAAGGGCUUCCGACAGCACUCUUUCGAGAAUUUCGAUCCAGUCUUUGCGUCCGGGAGCCUCCCGCUGCGACUGCGGGCGGGUGUUAGGCAAUAGAAUAUGCCAUCUGUGGAUAUCCUAGCUGCUAUAGAUAGCAGAUGUAAAUCAGGGAUAGAAUCCUAGCUGCUAUAGAUAGUAGAUGUAAAUCAGGGAUUAGUUGCUAGAUAUAGCAGAUGUAAAUCAGGGAUAAAUCAGGGGAAUUAUCCCUGCCUUGUAAAGCAGGCCAGCCAGCUCUAUAUAAUAGAAGGUGCCCCCCUCUCAUUGAGGUGUGGCCAAUUGCCCUCAACCCUGUUUCUCUACAAUCACUUUCUCCGGACGCUGAGAAUCCUUAUAAUUGAGAAUAUUGUCAUUUUUAGAUGAAUCAAAUGUUGCAGAAGAAGAUAUAUGGCCUGAUUGGUUGCCCGCAUAUAGUCGAACCAGGCUCACGGUAUGCAACUGCGAUGUGUUUGGUUGCACGGCCAGGAUCAUGCUACUUAUCGUUUGUUUGGUUUGCUACAUGUAUAGGUGAGCCUGAUUCUCGUGGUGGCAGAAAAGGCCUCAGGCUAGGAUCUAGAGAUGCGACCAAAAUCAAUGUAUCUUCAGAGCCAGGCCCAGGCUGUCGCGGUGUACAGCUGGGCUCUCGCUAGCCUGGUUAGCACGACCAGGUUGCCCAGGUGCGGGCAACCAAUCAGGUCCAUAGUAUAUGUGUACUCCCUUCGGUGUCAUAUUAUUUGUCCUUUUGGAUAAGGUUCGAGUUAAACUUAUAAAAUUCUAACUACAAAUAACUGUUUUAUUAUUUAGUUUUGAAACCUAAUAUUCAUAUGCACCGAUUUGUCUUUAAAAGUACUUUUAUAAAAUAUAAAUGUAUUAAGAGUUUAUUUGGAGAUCGUGUCGUUGUCCUAAACGACAAAUAAUAGGACACCGGACGGGGUAUGCUUUUAUCUUUGUUAGGAUAAUAAAAUAAUUCACAAAUUCAGUGACAUAGUUGCUUAGAUACCGGAGGUUCUUUAUAAACAAAAGAAACAUUGGUUUGUAAGCACAUUAAUUUACUGGUCAAUGACCAAAUCGAAUCACUGGACAUGAACUGGAGGACCAGUUAUGCAUUUUGCUGCAUAUUAGGGCAAGAUGUUAUGUAAUGUGAACAUUGGGCACUGAUACUAAUUAACAUUUUGAGUGCUUGUUGUUCAUAUAUCUUAUUAAAGUUCAAACCAGAGGGAAUUUCCCCCCAGAAAAUAUUCAUUCAGAAAAGUUGAACUGUUUAAACGCCUACGAGAAUUGUUCUUUGCUAGUUGUCUGUUACUGUUACAUUUAUCAAGUAUUUACAUGGCUGUGGAUAUUUCUCUGCAGCUGAUAUAGGGCAUUUACCCUUUUGUGACUAUGGCACUAGCGGCUAUCUAUAACCUUUUCAUCAUUAACAAAUCAGGCGGCCUUAUAUACUACAAGGUAUGUUUCUGGGAUCCCUUAUCUCUUCUUUAUUGAGAUCUUCUAGACCUCGAGCUGUAAACCAUGUCAUCUGCCUGCAUAUCUCUCCAGGACUAUGGUUCAGCAGGGAGGAUGGAUACCAAUGACAGUCUAAGAUUAGCAAGUCUGUGGCAUUCGAUGCAUGCUAUCUCCCAGCAACUCUCCCCUACCCCUGGCUGUACUGGCAUUGAUCUCUUACAAGCUCAUAACUUUGAUCUCCAUUGCUUUCAAUCCCUCACAGGUAUGUUAUCUGCUUAACAGUUCAGCUAAUGCAUAUUUGGGGUGUGUGGGUACACACACAGAAUUAGUUUAAGUGUUACAAGCUCUGACUUAAGUAUACUGUAGGUUCGUAAACUUGGAUAAUUUUUUUCUCAUUGAUAUUGCAUACAGCACCAAAGAAUGUGGUUUUUGUGCUGACCACUACAUGUGUGGGAAUACUUCCAUUAUCUGCUAUUACUUUGCCCGGUGCUAAGUAGCAGUGUUUUUAGCUCAGGAAUGGUAAGAUUUUUGUAGCAUGUGUGAUUUUUGUAGGCAGUGAGGGUUUGAAUGCUUAGGGCUAGUUUGGCAUCACCAUUUUUCCAAGGGACCAUUUUCCCAAGGAAAAUUAGUUCAUUUUCCCUUAAGAAAAUGGAAAUCUUUAGGAAAAAUAGAGUUGCCAAAUUAGCCCUUAUGAUAGAAAAUGGAGACUUUAAAACCUGUCACAGUUCAUUGCAAAACAAUUUUGUUGGAGCAUGGAUAAUUUGAUUCGAAUCAUUAUGCAGCUGAAAUAUAUCUUUGGGGGUAGAGUUAUAACUUAUGCGGUUAUCUUUUGGUUGUUUGAGAUUGUGGCCUAUAACCAUUGAAUAAUAAUAAGAGCAUCUCCAAUAGUUAUGUAAACAACUCCCUAAAUAUGAAUUUAAAAAGUUUUCGGAGAAAACUCUUCUCCAACAGUUAUGUAAAGCAGGUCCUUCAAUUUACAAACUCCCUACAAAAUCCAAUUUCAUCCUUACAUUUAUGAACCUCGUUGGGACUCCCUAAAUCAAUGUUGGUUCUAAAUCCAUCAUGAAAACCAUAUUUCGGCCACCGUUUUGUGUCGUCCUACCGUCCUAUUGACCACAAAUCUAUAUUUAGUGUCAUGUGUUGUCUUCAUGCCGUCGCCGCAACCUUCUGGUCUUUUAUCGACAACUUCGACCUUUUAAGACAUUAUGGAAGGUUGUUGAUGUGCUAGCUCAAUUUAAAAUAGAAACCAUGCUCACUUUUUUGUUGACAUGAACAAUUUUAAAAAUUAGCAACUAAUAAAUAGAGAACUGUUGGAGCACACACAUUUUUCUACUCCUUAAAGUGAUUUAGCAACUUCUUAAAUCUAUAAUUUAGGGUGCUAAAUUUACAUAACUAUUGGAGCUGCUCUAAGUCACCCAAACUGGUCUGUUUCACAUGUAUAUUCUGAUUGCCUCGCUUGCUUCAGGGACAAAAUUUUUCGUUGUAUGCGAAACUGGAGCUCCAAACAUGGAAAUGCUGCUGAAAGUGAUUUAUGAGCUGUACACGGACUUCGUUUUGAAGAAUCCGUUCUAUGAGAUGGAGAUGCCGAUCCGGUGUGAGCUGUUUGAUCACAACCUGGCUCAGAUGAUCCAGAAGGACCGUGUUGCGCUUCUGGGUCGGUGAAUCUUGAAAACUCAUGGUCUCAGCCCUUGAAAACCCUACUUUUCCGUUUUCGACGCUUGGACUUGCUCUGCUGGAACCCUAAAUUCUACCUUGCGGCACUGCUGUGCUGUGCAUAACCGAUAACUUGAAUAGUGUGUUGCUCGCUUGUAAUCUUCUUGCGGUGUGAUGAAAUGUAGAGCUUUGCGGGCAUAAAUGCCGCUGCAAAUAGUAACAACAUGGAAGCAGCUUUUGUUCUUGCAUGUUUUCCCUGCAAUGAGCUUGAGCAGCUAGAUGAGGGCUGGUUUGGUGGAAGUGGAAUUGAAGGGGAUCCAUAGAGAGGAAUUUCCUUGCUAUUUUUGAAUAGCAAGUGAAUUUCUCCCAUAGAUCCCUUCAAUUCCAUUUUACCAAAUUGGUUAUCAGUGAUUUUUCAAUGCCCUUUUACCAAAUUGGUUAUCAGUGAUUUGGUGUUCCUCGUUGUUGGGGAUCAUUGUUCGGGUGACAGAUGGUCAAUGUUCUGUCGACUGUUGUAGGACCACCGGUGCCAUGGCACCAGCCUUCGGGCCUGAUUGGUUCAGCUUUUUUCUGACCAGCUUUUCUGAAAAUCUGGUUGUGGGGAGAAUCUGAGUAUCAUUACGAUUACAUGUGGAGGAAGAUAAAGUUGUUUAUAGGGCUAAGGAUCUAGAAAGUGACAGAUUCCUACUAUUACAACGACUCAAUCGAUUAUGUGUUUAUGUUGAUUUUGGAUGGUUUUUGCCCCAACGAAUUUUAUAGAAGCUGGCUGAAAAGCUGAGCGUUUGGCAGUCCGCAGCAGCUUUUGGCUUUUGAAAGAUGGAACAGUCAGUACUGUUUGUAAUGAUCCAUCUCAAGCUACGGACAAAUUCAAUGCGAAUGAAAUCGUUGUUAUCGCAUUCAAAUGCUUCUGAGUUCUGACAAUCUGACCUAGUAAUAGCACUAAAACUUUGCAUACCCUAUUAUACAAUAUAGCUAGCGAUAUGUUUAGAACGUAUGAAUUUUAUACCCCUCCGUCUCAAAGUAUAAUUUAUAAUUUGUUUUAGGUAAAACAUAUAUUUAUUAAUUACGUACGAAUAUAGUUUAUACGUUUGUCUAUAUUUGUUAUCAUUAAUUUAAGGGAAAUUUGGAUCCAUACCAUUAAAAGAUCACCACUUUGGAUCUAUACCAUUACUAUCUCACUUACAUGUGGGUCCUAAUGAGUCAAUGACAUGUGGGGUCCAUGGUAUAUAUCUAAAGUUUGGAUCUUUUAAUGGUAUAGAUCCAAUUGUUCCUUAAUUUAAAUGUUGAAAAAUAGCUAACGAUAUGUUUAGAAUGUAGGAAUUUUACGGGAACCCUGUAUGAAUUUUAUAGCAGUUCAAUUUUAUCGAGCGAAAAAACACAGUAACGACAACAUUUUUCCCACCAGUUCCAAGUAGACGCAGUUGCAAUUUGGUUCUAUCUGGAGCAGAACCUCUAUCUAUUAUUUUAAACUUCUUUUCUACAAUUAUUAAACAAUAUUAUCUAUAAGUUCCGUGUCUCUUAGUUGAGUCGAGAGACUGUCUAACUCCGGUGCCAAAUGCCCAAAUCGACAAGCACACUUGGCCCAUGCUAGAGCUAGACGCAGCAGUCACAGUUAGGAAUGGCAAUGGGAACUACCCUACUACCCUGUCGGGUUUUAGCUCUUCGUUCUCGUUCCUGUGAUGAUUUUUUUAUACCGGAAUCUCCACAAACGCUUGUGGAGGAAUUUUUUCUCCAUCCCUGAUCCCUGUGAGAUAAAUCCUAUUGGGAUCUUGUCUUCGCUUAAAUUAUAAUUAAGACGCACUUCAUAUAUUAUUAAUAUAAAAACAUGUCACUUAUACUGUGUCAGAUGUAAGAAACAUUAUAUGUACAUUAAAAUAAAUAUAUUUGUAUAAUACGGGAUCUCUUAACAAUAUAAUUAUUUAUUUUUAUAAUUAAUUAUUAUAUGGAAAUAUCGUCACAUCUAACUUUAAUGAGUCCAUGAAAAACAGGGUAGAGAAUGUUUCUACGUCUCUGUUUCCGCUUAGUCAUCGAGAGAUAAUUUUUCUGUGUUUACAUUUUUUUCAAGAAACUUCCCUAUUCAUAUUCCUGUGGAGAACUUCCCGUCGGGGAGUCGGAGAUGGUCACCUCUAGUCACGUUCAAAGCGACACGCGCACCGGUCCUGGAGGCAGCAGUGAACCGGGCAGAGGAAGAGAGAGAGAGAAGUAGGGAACGCCCACCGCGGCGCCGCCGACGCCACACCCGGCCGAGCCGAAACCGAGACUGCAUCCUCCUUCGCGGCGCGCCGAGAUGAGCGGCAUGAGCCUCUCCCAUCGUCUCCCUCCCGCCGCGGCGGCGGUGGACCCCUACUACGUGUAUGCGGCGCACCCGGACCCACAGCGGCAGGGCGUGCUCACGCUCUUCGUCGCGGGGCUCCCCGACGACGUGAAGCCCCGCGAGAUCCACAACCUCUUCUCCCACCGCCCCGCCUUCGAUCACUGCCUCCUCGAGUACACCGGCCGUGGCAACCAGGUCCGUCUCCCUCCGCCUAUCCCCCGUGCUACUCCGCUAGACUAAACCCACCAUCUUUCUGUCUCUUCUGUGAGGCCGUCUAAGAUUUAAGUGUAGUUUAGAGCGCAACCCGGAUUGAUGUAGCGAUGGGAGAAGAUAGACUGCUGCAAAUACUGCCUCUGUAUGGAUAUGUACAUCGAUGCAAUGAUGUUGUUUACUGAAUUUUUUAUUCUUAUGCCACAGGCGGUUGCUUUUGUGACGUUCUUCACCCAUGAGGCGGCCCUGUCGGCAAUGAGUUCCCUAAAUGUGAGCCAAACGACCAUGCUGUAUACCUGUACUGUAGCUGCUCCAUAACUGUCAACAAUGAAGUUGGUUGUCUUCAACCUUGUUACUAGUGCUGUAGAGAUAGGGGACAAUAAUAACCUAAUUCUUUCUGCAUUUCUAUCUGCUCUAUACUCUACAACAUGACCCGGAUGGUGAUGUGGAUAAAUAACUGAAUUCUCUUGUAAAUCUAAGGAGUGCAGGCUUGGUGCAGUGUGAGAGCUGUCUCACCGAGUCACCGGCACUGGGUCUGCCCUUUUUCUCUUGUGAAUCUAGCCAAACCACCUUAUCUAAUUCUGUGCUCAUUGUUAUGCAUUAUGUGAACCAACACAUGAUCCACCUGAGUAGAAAUUUGAGUACUGAAGUUUACUAAGCUGAACAAUUAGCACGUUAGCAAUACCGAGGCAUCACUGGACGCUUUGUGGACUCUAGUUCAUGUCACUGACUCCUUAGAAUUAGAUAGACUUACUAUUCACCCUGCGAGAUGUAAAUAAUGAAACAUUGUACCAUGGUUUUUAAGGCGGUAAGGUGAGAUAAGGCGUUGGACCACCGCCUAGAUGUGUAGGUGAUGCCUUAUCAACCUGAGAAUCAGCAAAACAGCCCCAUGGAGGAGGAAGAAAAAGAAAAAAAGGAAAAGAAAAAAGGAGAAGGAAGGGGUAGGAGGCCUAGCCCACCAGUCUGCCCAUAUAAUCCUUCCUCUAGCAACCCUAGGUUGCCUUUCUCCCCCACCAUUCAGCUGCUGCUGCCCCCGAUUUCGCCGCCGCCACCUCAGAUUCGCCGCCGCCGACAAUUCGGAUGCUGCCGCCAACGAUUCAGAUGUCGCCGCCCCCGAUUCAGCCUCCGUCGCCCUGGAUUUGGCCUCCCUGCUCCCGAUUCGGCACUGCUGCCCCGAAACGGCGCCGCCCCUUCCCCUCUGCCCUAUGCCCUCUUGCUGAUUCUUACCUAGUCGACGGGGACACCUUGGAUCUUUUGGGCGCCUGGACGCCUAGGCGACGCCUUUAAAACAAUGCAUUGUACAGAUCACAGCUACAUGGUCAGAGGAACUUCAAAGCUACUGUUGUUAUCAUAUUCGCCACUUAAGCAUACUAUAAUGUAUUAUUCUGUCUUAGUAUUGUGCGGCUCUAGCACCUUCAAUUUAAUCGCUGCAUUGCUCAUUAUUUGAAUCCACAUCUUGUGUAACAUCUGUAAUCAGUUAGAUUGUCCAAAAUCAUACCCAUAUAUUUCUUGGCCACAUACUAGUAGUGUGGGAGUUGAUACAAAUUCUAUGAGAAAACAUCUGGCUACACAGAGCGAAAAACCAACUCGGAGUUUUAGAAAUGCUAACUAAAAGAAUGUCUAUGUUUGUCAAACCUAACCAACAAGCAAACUUUUAUUUAUAGCAUGUAAAUCGCAAGUUUAAUGUAUGCACUAGUAGAUAGAAAUUAGCCUACAAAUUCAUAACUUUGUUACUUUCUAGCUAUAUUUAUUAAGUAUUGAGUGCUAUUGUCACUGGUCUAAUAUUUUUAUCCAUUUCAGGGAACAAUUUUUGAUCCGGAGAGUGGCGACCGUUUGCACAUUGAGCUAGCUAAAUCAACUUCACGCAGACCUCGUGGAGGUGCCUUAAAUGCCAUUACAAACUUUAUUAUUAGAUUUUCCUGCCUGUUUGAUCGUUAUUUAAUGUUUGCAUGCUACCAUACUAAUUAUUUAUUUAAUGUAUCAUGCAACCAUGUCGAUUCUAAUCAUUUGAUGGUAAUUUUUACCUUAGGUGUCGAAGGCUACCGAGUUAUUGACAAACGGGCUAACAAAACAGAAGGAAAUGCUGACCAUGAAAACGUUGGUGAUGAAGAUGAUGACGAAGUAUGGGGGGAAGAUGAGGAUGGAGGCAAUGACAAUAAUGGUCAGCUUUAUUACUUGAUAUAUUUAUGAAUCACCUUCUUGUUUUUGUUAAAUGAGGUUACAUGAAAUGGCGCUUAUGUGGUAGAAACCCAGUCGCAACAUUCUAAUCUUGUUAAUAGGGCACUGGGAAAUCUUAAUAAUGCAUAUAUACAACUAUCCAAUCACAAUGAUGCGAUUAAACUCUGAAACUUUGUUGCUUUAUGGUAUGGUAAUGAAAAUAUGAAAUUCAGGCAUACCUUCUUUUCAGAAAAUAUAUAAAUCUAGCCCAUUGAUACAUAAACAUGGCUGCAACUAUCUGUAGUUUUUUAAUUUAAACCCACUUUGUAUUUUCCUUUUUCCUUUCUCCUAUUGCAGUUUCGGUUUGUUGAUGACUUUGAUGAAACCUCAUCCAUUGUUUUUUAUUAUGAAAAUUUCCAUGUUGAUUAAACAUUGUAACUAGGACUGAAUUAGGAUUGACAUAGCACCUAAUUAGGGGGUAGCAACUUUCUCACUCAUUUAAUGAAACAAAUGUAGUCUAGGUUUUCUAAUGGCACUAUAACUACUUCAUAGCAUAAACCUCACCUGCACAUUUUUGUUGGCACCAAACGUGUAGGUGAUGGAGGAUCAGAUGAGCCAUCGGGCACAGAAAAUGAAAAUCCCAGUGAUAAGAAUGAAUUGCCUACGGAUCAGAGGUUGGCACACAAUUCAUGUUACAAAUAGCUGGAGACGAUGCCCUUUCUUUAUCUUUUAUCUUAAUAAAAUAUCAAAGCAUCUUUUCUUGUGUUAUCAACUUUUCAUGGGUCUUCUAGUGGUUUAUCACGAAUAACAUUUCUUUUAAUGGGCAGUGAUCAACCAGGGCACAAGCAGCAGAAUGGGCAAUCUCUCUCAAAUGUGAGUUUAUUGUUAUGGUUUCACUUCAUGUAUUUAUACCUACAUCAUAGUUGUAAUAACUAAUGACAGCACACACUGUUGCAAGCCUAUGAAACAUUGUAAGUAGCUGCCAAUUUUUCAUUAGAUUGUUACUUGAACGACAUGCAUUUGUGCAUUGUGCUGGUAGGGGCUACUAAUUUUAAUAAUACCUAGAGGACCCUUGCCAAACUAUUCUUGAAAUGGGAUAUAUCUGCAUGUCUUGUCUCAAUAAUCAUCUAGUAUCUUGACUUACCCACCAAUCAAACUAGUGGGCAGAUUUUUUAGAAGUUUUUUGUUUCUUAGUUAAAGCUUGCUCGACAUGUACAAAGCUUGAUAAUAUGGCAUGUUUGGUGUAGGAAGGACGAGACAAAUCUUCAAGUGAUAUACCACCUUGCUCUACUAUCUUCAUUGCAAAUUUGGGACAUACAUGCACAGAGGACGAACUCAAGGAAGUUUUAUCCAAGUAUGAUGUGUGGAUUCUUCUAAUUUGCUUUUGAAGUGGAUCCAUAGUAAUGAAACUGCUCAUUGUUGUUCUAUAUUGUCAGGGAACCUGGAUUUCAUGUCCUUAAAAUGCGUCGCCGUGGUGGAAUGCCUGUAGCUUUUGCUGAUUUUACGGUAUACCUACCUAUCUAUACCUUUAUCGAUUUAACUAGUGACUUGAACUACUGCUGUUAUGUGGUCUAAAAAGUAAAAAAUGUUGUAUCUUGAACUACUCCCAGUUAAUGAAGUUUCUGAAGAUCACUUAGUAAGUUUUAAGCCAAUGCAAAAUGCUAGUUCUAUUAGCAUGAAUAAAUAAGUGCAAUAUUUUUACAAGGCUAGAAGGAAUGCAGUUUUUUAGGCCAUUCUCAAUGCAAGUUUCAUGAGAGAUUUUAUUUUAUUAAUUAGUAUGCCACAUAGGAUUUUUGAUAACAUGGCACUAUUUAUUAUAAAUUAGUCGAAACUAGUUUCAUCACCAUGAAACUAUGCCAACCCGUGUCCAAGGUAUUGGAAAGCGUGUGAGACCACCAUUGAGAGCAAUUUAUUUCAUUUCCAUCUAUUUCACCUAUUCAUAUUGGUUAUUUAGAUGCAACGUUAAAGUCAUAUGUUAGUCUAUGAAAUUGUGUCAUGAAACUCUUCAUUGAGGGUAUAUUUCAUCUUAUUUUUGUUGACUUGGCAAUAUUGAAAAUGGUGUGAUGAAACUAUCACCGAGAAUGACCUUAGAGCGACGCAUCAUCAUUUCAGCAUAGUUUUUUUUAUUUUUACUUUUUUACCAAGAGCCUGAGACAGGUGCUUGCAAUCUGCAGGAUAUUGAAUCGUCUACCGCUGCUAUGAAUAGACUCCAAGGCACUGUACUGGCAUCUUCUGAUAACGAUGGAUUGCACAUUGAGUAUCCUCAGAAUUACUUGCUUUUGUUUCAAUAUUUCUGUUUGUUCGAGCAUCCCCUUGAAACGACGUCAAAUGGUCUAGUAAGUUUUAUCGGAAAAGCCAGGAGUACCAAAUGCAUCUCUUAGUACAAGUUAGUUUCUCUUUUGGGUUUCGUAAUCUCGUAGUACAAGUUAGUUUCUCCCUUUUGGGUUUCGAACAAAGUUGGGUUUAUUGGUCUGCCAUUUCCGUGGUGUUCACCUUGUGAGUUUUAAAGAUCGUUUUGCAUUUGCCAUGAUGAAAUGUUACCCAAAUGUUGGUUCCUCGCUUCAAAGAUAAACGCAAUUGUUUGAUUUUGGGUAGGUUAGGCUCAACAUGUCGUGUCCGGUAUUUAUGCAACUGAGGAGGCUAGAAUCGCUGUCGCCGUUGUGCGUCACUGUUGAGAAUUACUCCUGGCUUAUCACAACGUGCUGUACAAUUUAUUCCAUUGAUUCGACAUCAGGCGCUGUUAUAUGGCCUUGUUUCCUUUAACUCCAGCAAACAGGUACGCAAGGUCGAAGAUGAGGAAAAGCUAAGUUGUUGGACUGCAAGGAUUGGCAGUGUCAUCUCCUGUCUGUCUUCCUGGAGGCUACCAGUAGGCAUCCCUGCACACGUAGCUGCGUGUAGCUGCUUGCUAAGCGUGAGAAUCCAGAACGGUGCUAAUUGUCCUGUAUGCCAUUAUACAAUACUCCCUCUUUUAAAUCAUGAGAUACUCUCUUCGUUUCAAAUUCAAAUUACAGCCCGUUUGGAUAAUUGGAAUUGAAUUCUAUUCUAAUAAUAGUAAUUUAGUCACAUAUCAAUUAAGCUAAUACGGUUUUAUACAAAAUAUAUUUAUAUAUUAUUAUUAGUAAGAUAUUAGAAAUAUUUGUGUUAUGUUUUACUAAAGACGAGUGAGCUGAAAAGCGUCCUGUAAAUUGUAGAGUGAAAAUAUAUUGUACUGAUAUAUAAAAUUAUUUUUCAUCCUCUAUAUAGGUUUAUAUCUAAACUUUAGAAAGUGACGGAAUAUUAAAUUUCAAAUUAAAGAGGUUACUUUAUUAAAUAAAUUCUAAUUUCUUAAGAUCAAAACGCCUCAUUAUAAGAUUUCUCGGCACUUCAAAGUACAUAUAUCUAAAAAAACAAAAGAACCAAAAGUUCUUCUAAUCUGAAAUGGAGAGAGCAUUUACUGGUACCGAGACAUCCAUUCUGGAAUCUGCUAUGAUCAGCGAUGAUCUGUACGGCAUCCUAGAGUUUCACAUGGAUCCAACACGGGACCAGAAUUCAUCAGAUCUUUGCCUAUGAUCAAGAGAAGUCAAAACCAACAACUGUUUGGUCCUGACUACGUACCUUUCCGUCUUCUGAUCGCCCGGUAUUGUUUCCUUCUUUUGUUCUCGAAAGAUUUAUCGCCCGGUACUGUCGAACGGCUCAGAGGCGUACACGGAAGUGGUCGAACUCGCUGCAGGGUCCCGCACCCUGCGUAGAAGUCUUUUUUCCCAAUGUAUCCUCCAUUCGACGCCGGGAACAUGGUGCCGCCGCCUCCCGAGUCCCGCCGAACUGCCAAGCGCGAACGCUUCCCGUCCUCUUUAAAGCCAGGUGUCGUCCAGUCCAAGUGCUUGCUCCCAACCAUUUCUGCGCGUGCGCCUCCACCGCCAGAACCCCGAAGAAGAGCAUCCCCCUCCUUGGAGAUUUUCAGUAACCGUUCCUGCUCGACGCCGACGGCAUGCCGACCGAGCGCGUCGAUGUCGCGGUCUCCUCACGGACGCUGCUGCGGGCGUCCGACCCGCCUCCGGACUUCCCCGCGGUGCUCCAGGCGUCCAACCUCGACCUCAUCCUCGGUUCCUUCCACAUCUACCUCAUCGCCAUGUACCCCGCCCCGGCCGCGGGCUUCCCCGCCGUGGUAGCUGCCGCGCGGGACGCCAUGCCCGCUUUCCUCUCUCGCUUCUUCCCUUUCGCUGGCCGCGUCGUCGCCAACGCCGACACCGGCGUGCCCGAGAUCGCGUGCGACAACACCGGCGCGGAGCUCGUGGUGGCGCGCGCUGGGGUGAGGCUCGCGGACGUCGACUUCGCGGACGCCGACCGCUCGCUGGGCCGCAUCGCGGUGCCGUUCCAGCAGGACCUCGCGCUGUCGCUGCAGCUGGUGCGGUUCGCGUGCGGCGGGUUCGCGCUGUCGUGGGGGACCAACCACCUGCUCGUGGACGGCCACGGUCUGACGGCGCUGCCCAGCGCGUGGGCGGAGCUGCUCCGCACCGGCGGCCUCUCGUGGGAGCCUCACCACGAGCGGGCCUCGCUCUUCCGGCCGCGGGACCCGCCGCGGUACAGCGCGUCGCUGGACGCCGAGUUCACGCGGUACGCGCCGGCGGGCCUCCCGAACUCGCUCCUGACGGCCACGCUCGUGCGCCGCAACUACGUGGUGUCCGCCGCGGACGUGGACCGGCUCCGCGCCGCGGCCAGCACCCCCGCGCGCCGCGCCACGCGGCUCGAGGCGCUGUCGGCGCACGUGUGGAAGCUGCUCGCGGCGGCCGUGGGCGGGCUCGACGCGCACUGCCGCAUGGCGUGGCUCGUGGACGGCAGGCCGCGCCUGGACGCCGCCAGGUACGACGGGGCCACCGUGCGGCGCUACCUCGGCAACGUGUUGACGUACGCGUCGCGGGAGGCGGCCGUGGAGGCCGUGUCGUCGUCCCCGCUGGCCGACGUGGCGGCCAUGGCGGGCGCGGCCAUCGCGGAGGUGUUCCGGUGGGAGCGGUACGAGGAGCUGGUGGACUGGAUGGAGGUGCACAAGGGGGUGUUCCGGGAGGGCGGCAAGUGGACGGAGGUGGUGGGCACCGGCAUGGGGAGCCCCGCGCUGGUGGUCUCUACGUUCGUGCCGUUCCGCGUGGAGGGGGACUUUGGGUUCGGCCGGCCGCGGUUGGUGUUUCCGUGGGUGCGCCCGGGGCGGCUGGGUUCCGCGGCCAUGACGGUGUCACGGAGCCCGCGGGAGGACGGGUCGUGGCUCAUCACCGCCAGGAUGUGGCCGCGACUUGCCGACGCCGUGGACGCGGACCCGGACGCCGUGCUCAAGCCGGCCACCGCCGCGCGGCUCGGGUUCGGCGCGCCCGAUCCGGCAGACGUGAUGCAGCAUGCUACCAGUCGCAUGUGAGUCAUAGAGUGGUUUGCCGUGCGCGAGCCGCGAGGCGAGCCGGUGGGCCUCAGCCCUCAGACUCAGGGUGGCACGGGCGGACAGAACAGCGCCCCUGUGGGCCUGCGUAUGACAUGGCGGCAUGGCGCUGACGGGAGUUUCAUGUGCGCCCAUCGAUCUGGUACAGUUUUGUACAUUUUUUAUCGGCACGAUCCAAGAAAAUAUUUUGGACAUUCACAGUAGCUCUCUCUCUCUUGACUGGAGAUAACGAAGAUGGUGGGACCGUGGGAGUAGCAGUGAGCGAUUGAAUCUGUUGGUGUCUUUUUGAUCGUCAAUCACUGCAUGAAAACUGACGGCUCUGCUCGCUGCAGAGGCGUGGACGGUCCGCGAACUGGGACAUAGCUAAGGGUUUCCUGCCUGACGACCAGACGGUCCGCGCGUGUGCAGGGACGGCGGAAGUCGCCGGCGGCACCUGGAUAUCGCUCUCGGGAGAGACCCCGUCGGGGAGGAGAGAUCCUAGGUGUUGUCUAGACUCGGCAGGCCGACCUAGACUCCUCUAAUCGACAUAGAGUCGAAGAGAAGCAGAAAAUUUGGGAAUUAGAGGGCUAAACUAGAACUAGACUAGAACUACUUCUAAAUGUACAAGAAAUAAAUGCGAGAUAAAUUGUUUAUUGAUUCGAUUGAUGAUUUCAAAUCGGCUGUAUUCCUCUGUAUUUAUAGAGGAGGGGGCUG